Molecule: long non-coding RNA, 44900 nt
Filed under: Cucumis sativus (cucumber)
Lineage: Eukaryota; Viridiplantae; Streptophyta; Magnoliopsida; Cucurbitales; Cucurbitaceae
Description: long non-coding RNA (CSAT_LNC003131)
Source: RNAcentral
AAUCUAUGUUGUAUAGUUAUUGGGCAGUUUGUAUGAUCUAUUCUAAACCUUGUCGUUGGUUUAGUCUUUUGGUUUAAGUCUCGAUAUGGUGAGAACGCUAAGUGGGUGUCAACCUAGAUGAGAUGUCCGAGUGCACUAGCUGAUCCUAGGGCUUCUUUGUAUUAUCUUUUGUCUUGUCUACUCAUUUUCAGCUUAAUGAAGAGGCUCCUUUCCUAUUUCAAAAAAAAAAAAAAAAAAAAAGGUAAAUGUGUGAUUCUUAUAAAGUAAAUUAUCCUACAGAUUAAAAGUUUGAACUUAGACUAUUCCAAGUGCUUCACCAAAUCUUAAAUAUUUGAACCAAGUGCACCAACUUUGCACAACACAACAAUGUAAAACACAUUAACUACUUUCUCUUUUAUGCACAUUAUAUAUCAAAUAAAAAUAUUAGAAGGGAAAAAAUGGAGAGAAAAAAAACAUACUAACAACGAUAAAAUAUAAUAAGCUUCAAUCGAAGAGAGAAGGUUUGAAGAACAUAAUUCAAAGGUUCCCAAAAUCAUAUCAUAAUUAGAAAGCCAAUACCAACCACCAAUUCAAAGAGAACACCUAAUCUACCAUACAAAAGUCUAAAUAUAAUAUUUUUUUUUAAUCUUGUGUUUUAGUGUAUGAUGCAAGUGAAGCAAAACAAUAUUACAAUAUAAGAUCUUUGCGUUCAAAGUUGACCAAGAAUCCAAGACUUUCAAUCGGCAAAGGUAAUAUUCUGAACAUGGUAGUUGGAUGUGUUCCCUUUAGCAUACUAUCUUAAAUAAUCACUUUUUGUUAUUUGAGAAAAACUCCAUUUUCUCUUAUUACGGAAAAAGAAUUUGAUAAUAGGUAAGUAUAAUUUAAUAGAAAUUCUAACUAAAGAGAACUAAUUAUAAAAGAAAAUAACGUCUAAAAAGAAUAAUUAAAAAAAUAACUAAGGCAACUAUACAAUACAAAUCUACACUUGGUAAUCACAACUUUCGAUCUUCCUUGUAUGGAGUAACAUUUUAAAGAGGCCGAACUAAGAUAAAGAUCUAAGCGAAAACUUCAUCGAUGGCAUAAGAAAGAUGGAUGGAAACCUUAUAAUGAUACAUAUUCUUACAAAUCCAGAUGUACGGGUGCUCGUGUGUGUUCAAUAAAGUAAAUAAUAGAAAAAAUUUCAAGCAAAAACCAAGCAUAAUAAAUUUCUAUGACCAUUAAGACAUCCAUAUUCUUAUCGCUUCUCUCCCACGUUUCACGAAGGCCCUCAGCCAUUUGCCAAUUCCAUUUGAAUUAUUUUUGAUAAAGCCCAUUAAAAAAAAAAAGUUCAAAAUGCACUUUGAGACCUAAAAUGACAACCAAGUAUGCAAGUGAAACAAACUUAGUCUUAAACAAGUCUCAAAAUGGCAAUCAAGUGGGUAAGGUCAACAAACUUAGUAUCUCUUGAUUUGAAAUUUGAAAAAUAUUUGUAAGGUGUGAUAAAUUCAAAAUCAAAUCAUUUUAUGUUUAUGUUGUUGAAUUUAAAGAAAUCAAAUGAUUAUAAAUCAACUUUUAAAAAAUUAAAAAUUUGUUUCUAGACAUCCAUAUUCUUACCGAUUAAAAUUCAACUUACAUAUUCUCUUUUUUACUUAAUAUCUAAAAUUUACAUAUACUUUAAAAUUUAUUUCUUCUCUUUUCAUUUUUUUUCUCAUAUUUCAUUUUUCAAGAUUUAAAUAGUUUUUUUGUUUUAUCUGUACUUUUUUUGAUAGGUUAUGAGUUAUGAGCUUAUAGUUUAGCAUUGUUAGGUCGUUUUGAAAAUUCAAGUGAUACUCCAAGGUUAUUCUUGGAAUAUUCUUUUACAUUAUAUUUGUUAAAUCACUAUUUAAUUUAUUAAGAGCUUGAUAAAUAACCACUAAACUAAAACCAUAGAGGAUAAUUGAUAGACCACUGGUACAUGUUCUAUCACUAACUAACAGACGGUAAAACUUUGUUAUAUUUGUGAAUAUCUUCAGCAAUUUUAUCAUUUAAGACAAUUUUUCGUAUAAUAUCGACAUGAACAUCGUAAGAAAACUCAAAUUAAGUAAGUUAAAUUAAAAAAAAAAAUUGUAUGAAUGUUUCGAGAACCAGUAAUUAUAAAUUCAACAUUUUUGAAUGAAAAAUUGGAUUGGUUUGUGGUGACGGCUAACAUGCAUGUCUAACAAUUAUUUUCAAUUUCUAAUACUUUCAUCCAUUGCCAAAGUUGGAAACUAAUGUUCACAAUUUUUUUAUCUUAUUAAAUGAAAUUUCACAUUUCUUGAAAAUUUUGGAUUAUAAUUAUUUGAAAAACAAAAUAUAUAUAUUUUGCUUUAUCGUUACUGAAAAUUUUAUCUCGUAAAAUUUGAUUUUUUUAGUCUAAAUUUUAAAAACAAAAUAUUUGUUUUAGUUAUAAAGAAAUUGUUUUGGGUUUUAAAUGGGUUUUAUCACAAAUAAUUCAAAUAUAUUUUAAUCCCUCAUCUCCCCUUCUCUCUCACUCACGUUUCAAAUUUCUUCCCCUACUUCUUCUCUAACGGCUCUCUCUCUCUCUCUACUUUCUCGUCCUCUCCCCUUCUCUUAUCUUCUUUGUCUUCCUCAAAAUCGCCCUAACAGCGCCGGAUUUCUCAACUGUCGAUCGAGUGACAAUCAUGCAUGCCUGCUUGACAAAGCCUUUUCGGUCUACCAAUAAAGGAAAAACGAUUGCUGGUGACACGAAAGCUGUGCUCGACGCUCUUUUUCCUAUUCCACUGCGCGUUGUGGUCUUUCCCUUGCUCUUUGGAUGACUACUGUGGACGAAGAGCACAACUACUUCCAGUCUCUGGUCGAUAAGUACCCAAGGAAGGUAAAUUCCAGCGGAGAAAGUCGAGAGCUCCUUAGUUGAUCACAAAUCCUUCCAAAUUCUUUGUUCGUAGACUAAUUUGAAAUCCUUCCAAAUUCUUUGUUCGUAGACUAAUUUGAAAUCCUUCCAAGCUGUCUUUUAUAUCCAUAAGAUACCAAUUAGAUUGUGUUAAUUAUUGUUUAUAAGAAAAUAUUUGUGUGCAGAGUUGCAGUGGGUAAAUCUUAAUGGCUGCCAGAAAAUUGGUUCCGGAUAUAUUACUCUCAACACAAAGUAUUUUUCGGUCUACCAAGUUAAAGAAAAAAAAAGAAGAGAAAAACAGCAGUUCAAAAAAACUGGGCAUCUUGCUUCUUUCUUAUUGAUGUAUGUAAUUUACAAAAGGUUUGGUGGAACACCUACAACAAUCUUUUUGAACUUUUUGGUAGGUUAUGAAUUACGAACUUGUAUUGAAUAUUUGUUAGGUCGUUUUAAUAAUUCAAGUGAUGCUUAGAAAAUGCAACCGAGCUUAAACAAUUCUGCACAUUUUUCUAAAAUUUUUAGUUUAACCUUUUUAAUAAAAUUCGAUGGAAAUUCUUGUUUUCUUUUUGUAGGAAUAAAGGAAAAUGAAAUAUAACCAAACUUGGGAUCUUUGCAAGCAAGCUUCCAUGAAGAAACUAGGUUACAAGGGGAGGUCUUCUGUUCUCCUUUUUCUUUUAUUUUCCAUCCGUAGAAUCUUGCUUAAAAUGCUUUGAGGACAAUGCAUAUUUUUAAGUGGGGGGUGGGGUUGUAGCCUUGCACAUUCCAUGUCCUUUGGGAAAUUUUCAUUUUGCAAAUUUUGCUAAAAAUGUCAAAAUUUAGAAACUUUUGCAAUGCUCUAUGCUUAGAAUAAGUACCAUGUCUACUUCGCUUUUUAGCAUAAAAAAGCAUGUAUGCCUAACCCAUGAGAACGGAGCUCGGAUUUGUGAUUGUAUUUGUUAUUUGAAUAUGUUACAUAUGCUGAAAAUGCAUAUAUUGAUAGCUUAGAAAUGAGUAGAACACUUGGUUCAUUUUCUGAAUAUUGUGAAUUAUGUACAUAAUAAUAUGUGCGGUUCUCUUUUUUAUCUCAAUUUUAAUCCCCUUUUUUGCCAUAUUCUAAUGCGUUUUUUAUAUUAAUUUUAAAUCCCUCUUUUGGCCAUACACAUUUGUAUAAGAUUGUUUGAAAGCAAAAUAUGAUUGUUAGGUCAAGUAGAAAGCAAAGUCGGCAAGUUCUUAGAGUUCUUCACCCAACAUAACAGUCGAUAAAAACAAAACAAUACGACCAAGCUGCUUAGGGUUGCAAAACCCGAUCCCCGCCUAGUGGGUCACUAGAGUUCUUCACCCAGCAUGGCAGCCGGUAGAGAGGGAGAGAGAAAAAAAAGAGGGAGCCAAGCCAGCCGCUUAGGUCAAGUAAAAUGCGUGCCGAGAUCCCCUGGUUUCAGAGUUUUCGUGGGGAUCCUCUCCACUUUUCUUGCCUAAGCAAAUCCCAAUCCCGCCUAGUAGGUGCUUAGAGUUCUUCACCCAGCAUGGUAGUCUUUAGAGAGGGAGAGAGAAAAAAAAGAGGGAGCCAAGCCGGCCGCUUAGGUCAUGUAAAAUGCGCGCCGAGAUCCCCCGGUUUCAGAGUUUUCGUGGGGAUCCUCGCCGCUUUUCUUGCCUAAGCAAAAUUUGACCCUCGCCUAGUAGGUCCUUAGAGUUCUUCACCCAGCAUGGCAGCCGGUAGAGAAGGAAAGAGAAAAAAAAGAGGGAGCCAAGCCAGCCGCUUAGGUCAUGUAAAAUGCGCGCCGAGAUCCCUCGGUUUCAGAGUUUUCGUUGGGAUCCUCUCCGCUUUUCUUGCCCAAGCAAAACCCGACCUCGCCUAGUAGGUCCUUAUAGUUCUUCACCUAGCACGACAGCCGGUAGAGAGGGAGGGAGAAAAAAAAGAGGGAGUCAAGCCAGCCGCUUAGGUCAAGUAAAAUGCGCGUCGAGAUUGCUUGGUAUCAGAGCUUGCAUGGGCAACCUCUCCGCUUUAGAUGGAAUUUGAUGAAAUGCUUAUGUCGAAAGUAGGCAUUUCUCUACAUAGUCCUAAUGGUCAUAGAAAUUUAUUAUGCUUUGUAUUUAUUUUACUUUGUUGUCAAGAAUCAACUUCUUUUCUGAUUUGUAUGUUUAUGUAUAUGUUGCAUCUCUGUCUUGUUAUCAUGUUGUAUUUCAUUGUACUCAAUAGUCUGAUUUGCAUUUUUUAUUAGUUACAUGUGUUUUACUAAUAAGAAUUUGUUUUCUCAUUUGUUUAUUUGUGUUAACAAGUGUUCGUGUAAUUGCAAUUUUGUUCUUGAAGAUAUUUUGCUUGAAUCAAGUUAGUUCUUUCUAUAAGGAUCAUUUUCUUGUAAGGUUAUAACUUCUUGUCCAAUUUUUCCAACUCACAUUUCAACUUGUAACAGGUGAAUCCCUUCUAAAUAAGAGCUUAAAAAGAAAAAACAAUUGGAACCUUUAACCAUAAAAUCAAGGUACUGCAUCUUAUUUGCAAUGAAUUGCUAUAAUUUCUUCCAACACUAUGAAACAUUUAUGUUACAGUUUUAUUAUUGUAAACAUCUUUGCUAAACAUCAUUGUAAUUUCCAAACACAACUCUGCCAAAGUUCCCAAGAUAGUUCUAUAGCAAUGUUCCACAGGCUAUCUUGCAAGUGAUGUGGAACUCCUUUGCUUUUUUGAAUAGUAAGCUGGCCUUCCUCUUUUGUUAUGCUUUGUUUUGUUCUUAAUACUUGCUUUUAUCUUCGCCUAUUUCAUUCCUAGUUGAUAUAUUACAUAGUCCUCUUAAAUCUACAUUCUUUUUCUGUUUUAUGAUUCACUUGAUUUUAAUGACUAACUUUGGCGAAAUAAUGUUGAACUAUAUUACAUGUUUUGCAUCUAAACCUCAAUUGAAAAGGUUUGUUACCUGUAUCAUUAUAAGGUUUCCAUCCAUCUUUCUUAGGCCAUCAAUGAAAUUUUUGCUUAGAUCUAUCUUAGUUCGGCCUCUUUAAAAUGUUACUCCAUACAAGGAAGAUCGAAAGUUGUGAUUACAAAGUGUAGAUUUGUAUUGUAUAGUUGCCUUAGUUAUUUUUUUAAUUAUUCUUUUUAGACGUUAUUUCCUUUUAUAAUUAGUUCUCUUUAGUUAGAAUUUCUAUUAAAUUAUACUUACCUAUUAUCAAGUAUAAUUUCAUUAAUAAGAGAAAAUAGAGUUUUUCUCCAAUAACAAAAAGUGAUUAUUUAAGAUACUAUGCUAAAGGGAACACAUCCAAUUACCAUGUUGAGAAUAUUAUCUUUGCCUAUUGAAGGUCUUGGAUUCUUGGUCAACUUUGAAUGCGGAUUUUUCUUAGUUGAUUAUUAAACAACAGGGUAAAAAGAUCUUAUAUUGUAAUGUUGUUUUGCUUCACUUGCAUCAUACACUAAAACAAAAGAUUAAAAAAAAAGUUAUAUUUAGACUUUUGUAUGGUAGAUUAGGCGUUCUCUUUGAAUUGGUGUUGGUAUUGGCUUUCUAAUUAUGAUAUGAUUUUGGGAACCUUUGAAUUAUGUUCUUCAAACCUUCUCUCUUCGAUUGAAGCUUAUUAUAUUUUAUCGUUGUUAGUAUGUUUUUUUUUCCAUUUUUUCCCUUCUAAUAUUUUUAUUUGAUAUAUAAUGUGCAUAAAAGAGAUAGUAGUUAAUGUGUUUUACAUUGUUGUGUUGUGCAAAGUUGGUGCUGUUGGUUCAAAUAUUUAAGAUUUGGUGAAGCACUUGGAAUAAGUUCAAACUUUUAAUAUGUAGGAUAAUUUACUUUAUAAGAAUCACACAUUUACCUUUUGUUUCUUUUUUGAAGUAGGAAAGGAGCCUCUUCAUUAAGCUGAAAAUGAAUAGACAAGACAAAAGGUAAUACAAAGAAGCCCUAGGAUCAGUGAGUGCACUCGGACAUCUCAUCUAUGUUGACACCUACUUAGCAUUCUCACCAUAUCGAGACUUAAACCAAAAGACUAAACCAACGACAAGGUUUAGAAUAGAUCAUACAAACUGCCCAAUAACUAUACAACAUAGAUUUAAGACCCCUAGAAAUCCAAAAGAAAUAAAAUAAGAGUAUAGUGGACUAAGAAUUAAAAAUGAAAGUCGGCCAAUUAUGACUUAUAUCUUGUAUGGAGAAAUCUUUGAAGUCUUUUGAAAGAGAGCAUCAAGAAGAAGCAUUGAUUCUAGCCAUUUCGACUCAAGUUGUCCAAGAGGAAGCUUUAUUUUGAAAUGUUAGUUGAUUAUGUUCAAACCAAAUUUCUGGUAAAAUGGCCUUUACUGCAUUAACCAAAUCAAUCUUGGUUUCUUCUUGAGAAUGGGACAUGAAAUAAGCUGGACCGCGUUCUCCUAAAUCUAUAGUCGAAAACCCAAUUCAAAUGAAGAUAGCCAAGUAAGUUAAACCAACACUUCUUUUCAUGUAAGCAGGAGAAGAAAAUAUGAUGUAAAUCUUCUAAAGCAUGCAAACACAAGGGACAAAUAUGAGGAGAUAAACUGUGAGAGGAAGGUUUCAUUUGCAAAACUUCUGCACAGUUCAUAGUCCAUUUCGCUUUCUCCAAAGCGUGAUAUUCACUCUUCUAGGGCUUUUUGUCUUCCAAAUUGUCGAGUAUAAGUGUUUUUCAAUUGGGGAGGCAAUGGAGAGAUGGUUGACUAAUGAAUGAACCAAAAACUUCCCAUUUGAUUCUGAUUUCUAGGUUCUUUUAUUUUGGGAGACUUGAAAUUCAUCUAUUUCUUCAACUUUUAGAAGUCUCCUGAAAUGCUUUUUUCAACCUUUUUGGUAGAUUAUGAGCUUCAAACUUACACUUAGGAUUUGCUAGGUCGUUUUGAAAACUCAAGUAAUACCUAGACACGUUUUGAGCACGUUUUAGGUUGGUUUGAACUAAGUUUGUUGCACUUACACACUUCCAUUUUGGGUCUUGUAGUGCUUUUUUCACAUUAUUUGAACUUUUUUCGUAGGUUAUGAGUUACGAACCUACACGUAAGCUGUUUUAGGACAUUUUGAAAGUUCAAGUGAUACUUAGACACGUUUUUAACUCGGUUUAGGUUCGUUUGAAACUAAGUUUGUUGACCUUAUCCAAUUGGUUGCCAUUUUCGGUCUUGAAGUGCCCUUUUCACACUUUUUGAACUUUUUGGUAGGCUAUGGGUUACCAACUUACACUUAAACUUUGUUAGGUUGUUUUGAAAGUCCAAGUGAUACUUAGACACGCCUUGACCACUUUUUAGGUUGGUUUGGAACUAAGUUUGUUGCAGUUGCGCACUUGGUUGCCAUUUUGGGUCGUGUAGUGUUUCCUUUUUUUUCCAUACUUCUUGAACUUUUUGGUAGGUUAUGAGUGACGAACUUACAAAUAAACAUUCUUAGGUCGUUCUAAAAGUUCAAGUGAUACUUAAACACGGUUUGAAAUUUUUUUAGAUUUGUUUAAGACUAAGUUUGUUUCACUUGCAUACGUGGUUGCCAUUUUAGGUCUCAAAGUGCAUUUUUCACGCAUUUUGAUUUUUUUGUUAGUUUGUGAGUUACGAACUUACACUUAAGGAUUGUUAGGUCGUUUUAAACACAUUUUGCGUUGGUUUGAAACUAAGUUGGUUGCACUUACACAUUUGAUUGAAAUGUUGGGUCUUGAAGUACUUUUUUUCACACUUUUUGAAAUUUUUUUAGGUUGUGAGUUACGGACUUACGCUUGAGUAUUGUUUGGUCGGUUUGGAAUCUUAGACACGUUUUGCACUCUUUUUAGGAUGGCUUGAAACUAAGUCCGUUGCACUUACAUACUUCGUUGCCGUUUUGGGUCUUGAAGUGCUUUUUUUACACUUUUUGAAAUUUUGGUAGGUUGUGAGUUACAAACUUACACUUAAGCAUUGUUUGGUCGUUUUGAAAGUUUAAGUGAUACGUACACACGUUUUGAAUACAUUUUAGGUUAGAUUAAGUGAUACGUACACACGUUUUAGGUCGUUUUGAGCAUGUUUUAGGUCGUUUUGAGUAAAUGGUAUGUAUGUUGUGAUUGUUUGAUUGCAUGUAUAAUACCUUAUUGAGAUGUGUAUGGUUGAUUGAGAAGCUGAUAGAACACCAAGUAAUGGUUCUUAUUUGUUCAUUAACCAACCAAACUAUUACAGAAUACAAUACUCAAACCAGUCUUGAAAACACCGAACAAACAAGUACUAUUACAGACAAUAACCAAGUAUAAAAUAGAACAUUGAAACAUCAAAAGUAGUUUACGAUAAUGGAAAACACUUUCUAAGAUUAAAGUAACUGAACAACUUCUGUAAUUCUGCUCUCCAGAAAAUACAGCCCCACCACUUCCAGAAACUGAUUAACCAACCCCCAUCUUUCCUUCCAUCUCUCCCUUUUAACCUCCCCCCUGUAACUAACUGUUGUCCCCACUAAGGUGGUUUCCACUUCCUCCAAUUCCAUCACCUGUGCACGUGCAAUUCCACUUGUCUUUCUUCUGCUAUAUUGUAUUGCAAUUGGUGGUCUAUCAUUACUCUCCCUCUCCAAAGACACCUUGUUCUCAAGGUGGGAAAUGAGGAAGCUUUUGUGUAAAAUCAUCACAGUUCUCCCAUGUAGCCUCAUGAGGUGGUAUUCCUUUCCAACUAAGAAGCACUUCCCACUUCUUUGUUGCUGGAUUUUUAGGAUAGCCAAAAUUGUCUGCUGGUAGUAACUCUUGAAAUGUAGGAACAUCAUCAAUUCCAUAUAGUUCGGUAAAUGUCAUUCCUCCCUCCAUAGCUCGACAUUUUGUCAAGAAACCUUAAUCAGAUGGUGUCCAUGUCUCCAUCAUGUGUUACAGACUCACUCUAGUCUUUGUCAAACUCGGGUCACCCCUUAUAACAACAUUCUUUUCAUUUUGUAUGAAAGUUAAAGUGAGUUUCCGCCAAUCCACUUCAGUUACCCCAACGUGUGCAGCCAUUGCAUUCCAAGGAUGACAUCCUGAUAGAACACUGAUGUAGUGUUUCUAUUAUAUUGAUAAUUCAAACACAACUUACAACAUAAGCAAACCGUGAACCUCAGAAAAUGAGUAACGUUACAUAUAAUUCACAAACAUCAAACAAAGAAAACCUCCUAAUCCAAAAUUCCAAACAACAAAAUACUAAUAAGCAAACCAGAAUAUAGAACACCAAUCUUCUGCUUCCCCUGUCUUUCAAGCAGUAUUGCAGACCUUUUCCUUCACUCCAAAAACUCACUUUAACAAAGAGGCAGCCACAUUUUCAGGUAUAGAAAAUAAAGUAGGUAGUAUGUAGGAAGGCUAACCAGAACUGAGUUGCAUAAGGUUUGUCUUCCGCCUCUAGAGAUGUUAUAUCUUUUUCCACCUUUCAAGUUUCUUGUGAAUUCGAUCAAUGACUGGUUGCCAAAAAGACUUUUGUCGAGGGUAGCCUCCCAAAGGGAGACCUAAAUAUAUAAUCGGAAGCUUUUCUACCUUGCACCCUAUCAGAUUUGCUGUUUGAAACAAAUCUUCCUCUCCCACAUUAACGCCGCUAAGGGCUGAUUUUUCCCAGUUUACUUUCUGCCCCGAACACCAUUCGAAUAAUCUAAUGACGUUUUAAAGUUUAAGGAGCAUCUUCACAUCAUACAUACAAAAGAGAAGAGUAUCAUCGACAAAUUGAAGCAAAGGGAGGUGGAUCAAGUCUUUGCCAACAAGGAAACCUUCAAACUGGCUGUUAAUAUGAAGCUUGUUUAUGAUUUCUCCUAAAACCUCACUUACUAGGAGGAAUAAAAAGGGGGAGAGGGGGUCCCCUUGGCGGAUACCUCUAGAUGCUGUUAUCCGGCCUCUAGGCUUACCAUUGAUGAAGAUUGAAUACUUUGGAUUUUUUAGGCAGCCCAUUAUCCAUGAUAUCCAUUUGGAACUAAACUUUUUCAAAGAUAAAUUUUUUUCUAAAAAGUUCCAAUUCACCCUAUCAAAGGCUUUUUCCAAGUCAAGUUUUAAAAUCCAUCCUUUUUUCCGUUUUGCCCUAUAAUCUUCCACGGCCUCGUUAGCAAUUAAUAUUGGGUCAAGAAUUUGCCUACCUUCAAUAAAGGCGCUUUGAGUGGGGCUUAUAAUUGCAUCCAUAACUUGUUUUAGACGUUCAGAUAAAACCUUUGCGACGACCUUGUAUGCUAACGUAGUAAGGCUGAUUGGACGGAAAUCCUUGACUAGAGUCACAUUCUCUUUUUUCUGCACUAAACAAAUGAAGUUUUCUUGGAUGCAAGCAUUUAAUCUUCCAUUUCUGUGGAAAUCAGACAUUAGUGAUUUGAAGAUAUCCUUGAAAAUAGACCAUUGGGUGAUUAGGAACUUCACUGUGAAGCCAUCCGGGCCCGGAGCGUUAUUGUUGCCAAGUGCCUUUAAUGCCUUAAAGAUCUCCUCCACUGAAAACUGGGUAACAAGAGCCUCAUUCUGAAUUGAGGAAACACAAGACCAAUUACUGUUAAUAGGGAUGAAUCUGUCCCCCGGAAUUCUGGUAUAAAGUGACUCAAAAAAUUCCAGCACAAGCCUUUCAAUGUCGCGGAAUGAAGUCGAGACAACCCCAUCAUCAUCUUUUAAUUCAGUUAUGAGGUUCCUUUUUUUAUUCGCAUUUAGAAAGCGGUGGAAGAAGCCCGUAUUCUCAUCACCCAAAGAAAGCCAAUUGAGUUUACUCUUCUGAAUAAAAUUACGCUCUUCAUUUUGAUAAAUACUAAGUAAUUCCGCUUGCAAAGCAGCUCUAGAAUUCAACUCUUCUUGAUUUAAUCCAAUCAACUCAGCCACAAAAUCAUAUUUUUCUAAUUUUGACAUCAAGGAUUUCUCUGUUUUUUUUUUUACCUUAGCUUGCGCAGCAAUAUUCCAAGCUUUGACUGCCAAUUUACCUGAUCUCAACUGCUCAUGAAGAAUGAAACCAGCCCAUCCCUGGAAGUUAGAGUUGCUCACUGUUUCAACAAUAAUCUGAUUAGAAUCACUGGACACCAACCAGCUGUUACAAAACCGAAAAGGAGAGGGACCCCAAAGAAAAGAACCAGCCUCCAAGAAUAAAGGAAAGUGAUCCGAGAAGAUGCGUGCUUUUUGAGAAACCCGAGAAUUUUCAAAACAAACAUCCCACAUCUGAUUUAUGAAGAAUCUGUCUAAUAAUGAUCUUCAAGGAGAACUACCGUCUCUAGACCAAGUGAACCUUCCAUUUUACAAUGGAAUUUCCAUGAGAGAAACCAUGUCAAUAAACUUAUUGAAUAAUUACAUUCCUCUAGUACUUCUGCCAAAAGUAAAUCUUUCCCGGGCCCAACGAGUGAUAUUAAAAUCCCCACCUAUGCACCAGGCCACGGCCGAACAAUCAGCUAAGGAAGACAAUUCGGGCAAAACCAAUUUCCUUUCUCUGAAACCACAAGGGCCAUAGACAUUUGUGAUCCAACAAACCUUUUUGCACAAACUGAGGCAUUUGAUUGACAAAGAGAAGCGUCUUUUAAUGACCUCUGUUACAGAUAUUUUACUGCUGUCCCACAUGGUAAGAAUUCCCCCAGAAGAUCCAACAGAAGCCACAUAAUCCCAGCCAAUAUCCUUAUAACUCCACAAUGAUUUUAUAAAAGCCGAGUUCAAGGUAUCCUUCUUAGAUUCUUGAAUCAUGACUACAAUUGUUGAUGAAUUUUUUAAGUGCUGCACGUUUAGAGGAGUCGUUCAAACCCUUAGUGUUCCAGGAGACAACCUUAAUAAUGACUGGGAGGAGGAAAAGGCAGUUGCACAUCUAAUUUAAGCCAGAAUGAUUCCACAAUCGCCGACUAUAGACACUAAAUCUUUAGGCAAAUCCAGGGGAAUUUUGAUAGGGAGAAUAUCUUCAUCAUUGAACAAGACAUUCAGAUCCAUCCCAUUAAUUUCUGGGACUAAUUUAGGGUCAACUUCAGUGUUGGGGACUGCCAAUUUAACUGAUCUCAACAGUAAGUUGAUUAAGUUGGGCAGUAGGAGGGACACGAGACAAGGCAUCUGCUGCUUUGUUUUCUAGUCCCGGUUUAUACACGACAUCAAAAUUGUAGCCAAGAAGCUUAGCAAUCCACCUCUGAUGUUGAGGUUGGAUAACCCUUUGUUCCAAUAAAAGUUUCAAUGAUCGUUGAUCAGUUUUCACUACAAACCUCCUGCCAAAAGAUAAGGUCUACAGCGUUGCACAGCCAAAACUACAGCCAUUAAUUCCCGUUCAUAAACUGGUUUAGCACGAUCCCUCAUAGCUAAUGUCUGGCUAAAAUAAUCAAUUGGCCGAUGAUUUUGAAUUAAGACAGCACCUACCCCGUAUCCAGAAGCAUCGGUCUCUAUUUCAAAUGGUAAGGAAAAAUCUGGCAGUGCUAAGAUUGGGAGAGUCAUCGUAGCCAUCUUUAAAUUCUCAAAAGCUUCAGCAGCUGCAACAGUCCAUUCAUAUGCUCCUUUCUUCAAUAGUUGAGUCAAAGGAGCAGCCACACUUCCAUAAUUCAUUACAAAUCUUCGAUAAUAUCCUGUCAACCCAAGAAAUCCACGAACUUCACGGACAUUAGUGGGCACGGGCCAUUCUUUGAUAGAUCUAAUUUUCUCGGGAUCAACCUCUACACCCUUGCCCGAAAUUAUAUGGCCAAGAUACUCCACUUUCAUUUUGGCAAACCCACACUUGUGCUGCAUAUUAGCAUAUAAUUUAUUCUCUCGCAGCACCUCUAACACCCAUUCUAAAUGUUGAAGAUUUUCAUCCAAACUUCUGCUGUAAAUUAAUAUAUCAUCAAAAAAGACUAAGAAAACCUGCGUAGGUAAGGUUUAAAGAUACUAUUCAUCAAAGCUUGAAACGUUGAUGGUGCAUUGGUGAGCCCAAAAGGCAUGACAAGAAACUCAUAAUGCCCCUCGUGAGUUCUAAAAGCUGUUUUCUUCACAUCCUUUUUACACAUUCUAAUUUGAUGAUAUCCCGCCUUGAGAUCAAUCUUCGAAAAUAUAUUAGCCCCAUUAAGUUCAUCAAACAAUUCCUCUACUACUGGAAUAGGAAACUUGUCUGGAACGGUCACACUAUUCAACGCACGGUAAUCUACACAAAACCGUCAACUACCAUUUUUUUUUCACCAACAAGACCGGGCUCGAAUAUGGACUAGUACUAGGUUUUUAUGCCAAAUGCCAUCAUUUCAUCAACCAAUCUUUCCAUCUCCUCCUUUUGCUGGUAUGCAUAUCUAUAAGGCCGAACAUUGACUGGAUUAGUCCCCUUCUUAAGAUGUAUAUGAUGUUCAAUGGUACAUUGUGGUGGCAACUCUCCAGGCCAAUCAAAAACAUCUUCAUUCUUAGCUAACACGGCUGGAAUAGACUCAUGAGUGGUAGGCACUUCAUCAACCCCAUACAUCGCUGCAAAUGCCAUUCCACCUUCCAAAGAUCCACACUCAAUCAGAAAUCCCUGAUCAAGUUCUGUCCAUGUCUUCAUCAUGUGCUUCAAACUCACCCUAGCCUUCGUAUGACUCGGAUCUCCCCUUAAUACAACCUUCUUCCCAUUUUGUAUGAAUGUCAAAGUAAUUUUUCACCAAUCUACUUCGGUUACUCCUAAUGUAUGUAGCCAUUGCAUACCAAGAAUGACAUCCACUCCCCCCCAAUUCCAAUGGCAGAAAAUUAUCCACAACCUUCCAUUCACCCAAUAGCAGUUCCACUUGUUUACAAAUUCCCUUCCCUUUUACAGCUGAUUCAGACCCCAAAAUAACCCCAUAAUCAGAAGUUUCCUGAAUCCUCUUCUUCAACUACUUCUAGUUCUUCCCCAUUUGCCCCAACAACUAAAACUCUAAGUUCCUUAUGAUCUUUCACUUUACACUUAUGGCCCACAAAAAAUCAUUCCUCACAACGAAAACAGAGACCUUUCUCACGUCUAGCCUGAAAUUCAGCAUCAGGAAGUCGUUUUAGUGGUCCUUCUCGUCGAUUAGGUUCACCAGCCACUCCUCGAAGUGUAAUCAUCCGCAUUGGAACAAUCCCUUCUGACUUAUUAUCAUUAGAAAUCACAGGAAUUUGAGGUUUAAAAGAAGCAGAAACCUGGAAUUUUCCAUCCGCUGCACGUUUGAAACUUGAUUCUCCCCUUAUCACUUCUCGGUUCUCAAUCUUUUGGGCCAACUUCAUCAUUUGAGCAAGCCCCAUAGGUUCCCAACAUUCCAUGCCUGCCUUAAUCCAUGGUUUCAAACCAUUCAUAAAUGUUUCUUCUAAGACAGCCUUUUGUAGAAAAGGCAAUGGUGCUACUGAUUUGUCAAAUAAAUUCUGAUAUUCUUCCACUGUAAUUUCUUGCUUGAUCUUUAAAAAUCUUCCCAGAAUUGAUCCCUCACGACUCGAUCGAAAUCAAACAAUAAGUCUCUUCUUUAAAUCGUUCCAAUUAACAAACGGUUCACGAUCUUCAUGAGAUUUAUACCAAUCCAAAGCUGCUCCAUCAAAACUAAUAAUGGACACAGUCAUUUUCUCUGACUCACUCAGUUUGUGUAUCUGAAAGUAUCUCUCAGCCCUAAACAACCAAGAAUCAGGAUCAUUUCCCACAAAAACUGGCAUUUCAAUUUUUUUAAAUUUGCUUCGGUCGCCCGCAGAAUCUUCACCCUCCAACUUGGUAUGUUUUUCCUCAGAUUUUCCUCCCAUCAUCGUCCAAUCACUGACAUCAACCAUGCUGUCAACUUUACUUGAUGAUCCUUCUAGUACUUCUUCCAUCGUUGUCUUCUCUUUGAUCAUUCCUUCAAUAUAUUUCAACAGUGUUUCUGGUUGCUGUUGUUGCUUCUCAGCCUGUACUCCUAACCUCUCAAUACUCUUCGCCAAAGAUGACAUGUUUUCCUUGAUUGUUGGCAGAUCAUGUAAUUCUGCUCGAAUGCAGGAUAUUUCUUGAUCUACCAUUUCCAACUUUUCCUCAAUUCGCUUUUGAGCCAUGAUAUAGAACUUCACAGAUUCGAUUUCUCCGAUACCAAAAUGAUAGAACACCAAAUAGUGUGUUCUACUAAUUUAUUAAUCAGCCAAACAUUUACAGAAAACAGGUUCUAACACAGUCUUGAAAACAAAGUACUCGACAAUUUGGAAGACAAAAAGCCCUAGAAGAGUGAAUAUCACGCUUUGGAGAAUGCGAAAUGGACUAUGAACUGUGCAGAAGUUUUGCAAAUGAAACCUCCCUUUCUCAGUUUAUCUCCUCAUGUUUUUCCCUUGUGUUUGCAUGCUUUAGAAGAUUUACAUCAUAUUUUCUUCUCCUGCUUACAUGCAAAGAAGUGUUGGUUUGGCUUACUUGGCUAUCUUCAUUUGAAUUGGGUUUUCGACUAUAGAUUUAGGAGAACGUGGUCCAGCUUAUUUCAUGUCCCAUUCUCAAGAAGAAACCAAGAUUGAUUUGGUUAAAUGUAGUAAAGGCCAUUUUACCAGAAAUUUGGUUUGAACAUAAUCAACUAACAUUUCAAAAUAAAGCUUCCUCUUGGACAACUCGAGUCGAAAUGGCUAGAAUCAAUGCUUCUACUUGAUGCUCUCUUUCAAAAGACUUCAAAGAUUUCUCCAUACAAGAUAUAAGUCAUAAUUGGCCGACUUUCAUUUUUAAUUCUUAGUCCACUACUGUACUCUUAUUUUAUUUCUUUUGGAUUUCUAGUGGUCUUAAAUCUAUGUUGUAUAGUUAUUGGGCAGUUUGUAUGAUCUAUUCUAAACCUUGUCUUUGGUUUAAGUCUCGAUAUGGUGAGAAUGCUAAGUGGGUGUCAACCUAGAUGAGAUGUCUGAGUGCACUAGCUGAUCCUAGGGCUUCUUUGUAUUAUCUUUUGUCUUGUCUACUCAUUUUCAGCUUAAUGAAGAGGCUUUUUUGUAUUUCUUCAUGGUUUGUAUUCAUGAUAUUUAUUUUCGUAAUGAAUCUUUCAUGUUCUGGUACACAUUGCAGAAACACAUAAUUUCAGCAAUCUGUCAAAGAGUUGAAGGAGAAGACAGAAGAACUUAAAGGUCACAUGAAGACCUAAAAGUUAGGUAAUUUUUUGAAAACUUUUUUCUUUGUCUUGCUUAGUUUUAGUGGUAUUUGUUAACAGGCUGAGACAUACUCUUGUAUGCCAAUGCUGGGUGGCCAAUUCAAUUUAUGGCCUGAGACGGGGAAAUGACGAGUGUAGAACAAAAUAGACAAUCAAGCAGAUUUACAAGUAGGAGGAUUGGUGUAAUUCAAAGUUGGAUUUGGAUCCUUUCUUUUAUUCAAGAAUUCUAAUCUGCCAUUCUCAAUAGGAGAAUGGUUAUUUAUAGAUGUGAGUGAUGGUUACAGCUAAUUGUUUGAGGGUAACUAAUCAGUUAUUGUAACUGAUUAGUUUUGAAGAAAACAGAAAAAACAGCUAAUAACAGAAAAUAACAGAAAACAGCUAAUAACAGGAAAUAAAAAAACAGCUAAUAACAGGAAAAUGGCUAAUAUCUAUUUGUGCUGUUUAUUAUGACUGUGUGAUUGCAUCAUUCCAUCCUCCCGAGAUUGUACUCGACCACGAGUACAUUAAUCGGCAAGCUGGAAGUUGUCCAUGACUCUAUCUCUCUUCCGGUGUAAAUCUCCCAAGGAGUCCUUGACGGCCAGCAAGCGAACCGUUGAUGUCCUUGGUGAGAGGGCGGCGGUGUCCUCCGUCUCUUCUUGCGCACGGUCGUCCCCCAUGGCUGGGUUGUUUCCCCUCCGGCCAGCCAUCCGUCCAAGAAUCGGGGCUGCUCUGAUACCACUUUGGUGUAAUUCAAAGUUGGAUUUGGAUCCUUUCUUUUAUUCAAGAAUUCUAAUCUGCCAUUCUCAAUAGGAGAAUGGUUAUUUAUAGAUGUGAAUGAUGGUUACAGCUAAUUGUUUGAGUGUAACUAAUCAGUUAUUGUAACUGAUUAGUUUUGAAGAAAACAGAAAAAACAGCUAAUAACAGAAAAUAACAGAAAACAGCUAAUAACAGGAAAUAAAAAAACAGCUAAUAACAGGAAAAUGGCUAAUAUAUAUCUGUGCUGUUUAUUAUGACUGUGUGAUUGCAUCAAGGAUGGUGUUUGUUCUUACUCUAAAGCUACUGCUAGAAAGGUGGUUCUCCCUUUAUUUACACAUGUUAUCUAUAUUUAAUUACUGUAUUUAUGUGAUGGUGAAUAAAUAUCUAAGUCGUUUCAAGUUUGUACAUCAUGCUUGAGUUAAUACAGAAAUGUUGUAGAAAGAGUAGAACGAUGACAUAGUUCACUUUGUUUCUCUACGUACAAAAUAACCAUUGACUUAAAUCAAAGACAUUGCACCACAAAUGACCAUUAGAAAACAAUAUACAAUAGAAAGAAUAAAAAAUAUGCAGAAAUUGAAAAUGAAAGUGGAAGUAGAAAAAAAAAAUGGAAGGAAGAAAAAUACCCCCAAAGUUCCAAGUGCAAUAUGAUCAUAACCAAUUUGUAUCACCAUGAAAAGAUCGAACAAGCUCCAAAAUGGAUUUUACAGUGCGAUUCCAACUCACAUAAGCAGUCUCUAGGAAUGCCAAACCGUUUCUAAGAAAGGAUCAUCACAACCCAUAACUUUAAAUUCUUCAAAACAAUGCAAUGAAAUCAGAGCAGAAAAAAACAGAACAACUCUAACCAACGAUAAUUGCAAAAUAAACCUUAUGGAAAUGUUAUAGAAAGAGUAGAACGAUGACAUGGUUCACUUUGUUUUUCUAUUUACAAAAUAACCAAUGAUUUAAAGGAAAGAAUUUGCACCACAAAUGACCAUUAGAAAGCAAUAUACAUAAAAAAGAAUAAAAAAUACGCAGAAAUUGAAAAUGAAAGUGAAAGUAGAAAAUAAACUGAAGGCAUAAAAAUACUCCAAAAGCUACAAAUGCAUUACGAUUCGGAAAAAUUUGUAUCAACAUGAACUGAUCGAAUAAGCUCCAAAAUGGAUUUUGCAGUGGAGAGUGGGAAAAAUUCUCGCCGGUGGGAAGAGAAGGGAAGACAUGGGGUUCAGUUUACAUAAAUUUUUCUUAAUGAUUGUUGGAAGAACAAAGAGAUUGUGAGGAGAUUUAAGGGCAACGACAACAAUGACAGAAUGUUAAAUCUCGAAAGACUAAAUGGCCAAUUGAAUCUUUAAACCAGUUCGAUCUGCCUGUUAGUUGUUUUCUUGCUUCUUUAUGGAAAUGGGGUAGAAAGAGUAGAACGAUGACAUAGUUAACUUUGUUUUUCUCUUUACAAAGUAGCCAAUGACUUAAAAGAAAGACAUUGCACAACUUGUGACCAUUAGAAAAUAAUAUACAUAAGAAAGAAUAAAAAAUAAGCAGAAAUUGAAAAUGAAAUUGGAAGUAGAAAAGAAAUGGAAGAAAAAUACCCCAAAACUUCAAAAUGCAAUAUGAUCAUAACAAAUUUGUAUCAUCAUGAACAGAUCGACCAAACUCCAAAACAGAUUUUGCAGUGGGCUUCCGACUCAAAUAAACAGCCUCCAUGCUCACCAAAACGUUCCUAAGAAAGGAUUCAGCUCCCUACCAACAUGCAUCACAUCCCAUAACUUUAAUUUCUUCAGAAACAACGUAGUUAACUGAAGGUAAAAAAAUCAGAACAAGAACACUAACCAACUUCUUAGGAAUCAGCUCCCUACCUCCGAAUGCGUCGGGUUCGUUCAGGAUCAAAAGUUGCGUAGGGAAAUCUUCACUCUUGGCUGAAGCAACAAUAGCAUGUAGAAAGUAGAAGAGUAAAGCUGGUUAGAUCAGAAUGCAUCGGGUUCCAUCGGUAUCAGAAUUUGCGUAGGCAACUCUUCCCUCUUGGUUGAAGCAACAAUUUCCAAUAGAAAGUAGAAGAGUUAAACCAGUUAGAUAAGAAUGCGUCGGGUUCCUUCAGAAUCAAUACUUGCAUAGGAAACUCUUAACUCUUGGAGGAAGCAAAAAUAGCAUGUAGAAACUCAAAAAGUUAAGUCGGUUAGGUCAAAAUGCGUCGAGUUCCUUCGGAAUCAGAAUUUUCGUAAGGAACUCUCCACUCUUGGUCGAAGUAGGAAUAGCCCGUUGGAAAUAGAUGAGUUAACACUUCAAAAAUGCUUCCUAUAAAAAGUUAUUAUAUAUAGGGACAAUCUUCCUUUGUGUUUGGACUGCACCCAUGCAUUUAUAGCACGGGAGCAUUCCUUUAGAUCACAUCGUAUCCUUUAGAGAUCGCAGUUUGCUACCUUGAUUUUCAACUUUUGUCGAGCCCUUUAGAGUUAGUUUGGUUUGAAAUAGAGAUUUUUGUCUUAUGUGAUCAAGGUUGUGAAAUAUCUCACUAGAUUUUUUUUAUGGAACAUUUGAUUAGAGAGUAAGGGUUUUGAGAGGUCUUGGGAGGAGAUUGAGACCAUUGCUGGUUUAAGGCAUUUGUUAGUUAAAAACAUUACUUUAUCCCGUAUAUCUAAGACAAGCCAAGCUUAUUUUCUUCUUAAAACAUACUAUAAUUAGUCAAACAAAAAAAUGUUAAUAGUCAAAUACAUUUUUUAUUUGACAAUUAAUUGUGUUAAUUACAACAAUAACUAUAAAAAUUGGUUAUCAUCCUGUUUUGUUUAAAAAUCAAAUCAAGAGUUUAACUAAAUGGAAUGCACUACAAUGAUGAUUCUGCUAUUAUCAGUAAUACACAAACCUUGCAUAUUGAGUGAUGAGGAUCUCGAAGAUUGACCAGUAGAUUAUCACUUUCAAAAUCAAAGUGCACAAUAUUCUUUCUGUGCAGGUGUUCCAUUCUAAAAGCCGCAUCCAUAGCAAUCAAGAGGCGCUUCCACUUUUCAAGACUCCUGCAUCAAUUGUAUUUAUGCUUAAUCUAAGGGUGAAGAUACAUUAUACUGCAACUAACUUCUAACAAAUUAAAUUAAACGUAUGAAAAAUGAGAACAAUUGUUACUUUUCAUUCUUCAACAAAGCAUUUUUGAGCGAACCAUUGGCCAUAUAUUCUGUUACUGUGGCCACAGAUCUCCCAGGCCCAUCAAGCACGACACCAUAAAAAGUACCACAUUUGGGUGGUGCAAAUCAGCAAACUUAAUUGCUUCAUUCUAAAAAUCUUCUCACUGGUACAAUAUAAAACAACAAAAAGGACUUGAGUCAAGGAAUAAAAAGAAAAAUACACGAAUAACAAAAGAAAAGAAAAGCCAGUUGCUUAAAAUGAACAACCUUGCGAUCUUGUUUAGAAGGCUUCCCAGCAAAACACCUAUCAUUGAUUCGUUUUAUAGCAACAUCAGUCCCCUCCAUUUUCCAUGGUAAAAAGUGCCAAAGGUGCCGGACCCCAAUUCUCUUAAUUCUUCAAGGUCACUAUUCUUUAUUACCCGAAGGAAAGAAGAAAAAGAAAAAAAAAGAUGUUCGGAUGGACAAUUUAAACAUAAGGUGCAACCUUAAGGUUAAAAAUGGAAAACUAAGUAUUACCUGCAAGCGGCCAAGGCCUUUUGACAUUGGAAAACCAGGAUUUGCUUUACCUGAAAGUCUUGUCCUGCCAUCGUGGGCAAACAUGAAACAAGAAUAAUUAUGGCAAAAAACGUGACAUAUUCCCGUUGAAUAGCCAAAUGAAUGAUGUGUAUGUUGCAUCUUGUUUUGGAGAAUGUUCAGCAUUGUAUUGGUGUCUUAUUUACACUUUGUAUAAAUCAGUCAGAUGUCUUGAAUGGUGCUUUUGCAUUGCUUUGUUUGCAUUCCACUCUCAGAUAAUGGAAGACAAUAAAAAUAAUCCUCUUGUUUUACUUGUGUUUUAGUAUGCUUCCUUUUAUCCAUUGUUUGGAACUUUCCUUCAAAUGGUUGAGCUUCUGGUGUCAAAGUACCAUCACAUUUGUUGUAAUUUAUUGAGCUCUUUAGUUAUUUUAUUACUCUAGUUGAAUGGCAUAACUUUCGUUUAAAUAUACAUUCAAAUCUAAUCUUACUUUAACCACUAGUAUAUGUAUGUAUACGUGUAAACAAAAUCUUGUAAUAUUGUGUUAUCUUAUUAACUAUGUUGUGAAGUUUAUGUAACAUUUCACUUGAUUGUACUUUUUUUUAAAAUAGGACAUUUUUUUCUUAAUUUUUCAAACACAACUAAUAUCUACUUGGACUCCUUGUACUCCUUGUAAAUGGAGUGUAUUCUUGAUUAACUUAAACACUUAAAUUCUUUUACCACACAUAUCAAUUACUAAAAUUUCAUAAUAUCAAAAUUCAACAUAUCCAUAAGUUAAAAAACAUAUUUUGUAAUAAUACUCGAAAUUUGGGAUGGGUAGUCUGGGUUGUUAGUGUUGUCAGUGUUAGAAUACCCCUAGUGGUUUGUGUCAAAAAAGUCUCCUUUUAAAAGUUGAAAGAUGCCCUUAAACUUUCGAAAACGGUUCAAAAAUACCAUUGUCUUUGGUUUUAGAUGAAAGUCGCUAAAGUUUUGUUUAAAAAAUAAUCAUCAACUAUUGAAAAGUUCUGUUUAAAAAAUAUUGAUGAAUUAUUGAAAGUUCCAUAAAUAUCCUUUUAUGCUUAAAAAAAAUUCAAAAAAAAUGUUCAUCGAUCCAAUUCAUACACCUAUUUCUUUACACUUAUAAUAAAAAGCCCAUAGAAAGUAGAGAACUUUUCACUCUUGCAUGAAGCUACAAUAGCCCGUAGAAAGUAGGAGAGUUAAGCUUGUUAGGUUAGAAUGCGUCGGGUUCGUUUGGGAUCAAAACUUGCAUCAGAACUCUUCACUCACGGUCGAAGCUACAAUAGCUGGUAGAAAGUAGGAGAGGUAAGCCUAUUAAGUCAUAAUGCAUUGGGUUCUUUCAGGAUCAAACUUUCGUAGGAAACUCUUCACUCUCGACCGAAGCCACAAUAACUUGUAGAAAGUAGGAAAGAUAAGUUGGUCAGGUCAAAAUGCGUCGGGUUCCUUCCGUAUUAGUAUUUGCGUAGGGAACUCUUCACUCUUGGUGAAAGCAACAAUUUCAUGUAGAAAGAAGGUGAGUUGAAGCGAUUAGAUCAUAAUGCGAUGGGUUCCUUCGGGAUCAAUACUUGCGUAGGGAACUCUUAACUCUUGGUGGAAGCAAAAAUAGCCCGUAGAAAGUCGAAGAUUUAAGCCAAUUAGUUUAGAAUGUGUUGAGUUCCUUCGGGUUCAAAAUUUUCGUAGGGAACUCUUCACUCUUGGUCGAAGCAACAAUGGCCGGUUGAAAGUAGAAGAGUUAAGCCAGUUAGGUCAGAAUGCAUGUUUGGUUCUUUAGAUAUCCGAACUUGCACAGGGAAAUCUUCACUCAUGGUCGAAGCAACAAUAACCUGUAGAAAGUAGGAGAGUUAAGCUGGUUAGGUCAGAAUGUGUCGGCUUUCUUUGGUAUCAGAAAUUGUGUCGGGAACUCUUCACUCUCGAUUGAAGCCACAAUAGCUCGUAGAAAGUAGGAGAAUUAAGCCGGUUAGGUUAAAAUGCAUCGAGUUCUUUGGGAUCAUAACUUCUUCGACAACUCUUCACUCUCGGCCGAAGCCACAAUAGCCGUAGAAAGUACGGGAGUUGGCCGUAGAAAGUAGGGAAUGCUUUCUUGGCCGAAGCAACAACAACUUGUAGAAAGUAGGAGAGUUAAGCUGGUUAGGUCAAAAUGUGUCAGGUUCCUUCAAUAUCAGAAUUUCCAUAGGGAACUCUUCCCUCUUGGCCGAAGCAAUACUAUAGAAAGUAGGAGAGUUAAAGUGGUUAAAUCAUAAUUCAUUGGGUUCCAUCGGGACCAAUACUUUCGUAGGGAACUCUUAACUCUUGGUGGAAGCAAAAAUAGCCUGUAGAAAGUAAGAGAAUUAAGACGGUUAGGUCAGAAUGCAUCGAGUUCCUUUGAAAUCAGAAUUUUCGUAGGGAACUCUUUACUAUUGGCCGAAGCAACAAUAGCUCGUUGGAAGUAGAAAAGUUAAGCCAGUUGGGUCAGAAUGCAUUUGGUUCUUUCGAUAUCAGAACUUGCAUAGGAAAAUCUUCACUCAUGGUCAAAGCAAUAAUAGCUCGUAGAAAGUAAUAGAGUUAAGCUGGUUAGGUUAGAAUGCAUCGAGUUCCUUUGGUAUCAUAACUUGUGUCAGGAACUCUUCCCUCUUAGCUGAAGCCACAAUAGCCCAUAGAAAGUAUGAGAGCUAAGCAAAAUAGUUUAAAAUGCGUCGGGUUCCUUCCAGAUCAGAACUUGUGUUGGGAACUUUUCACCCUCGGUUGAAGCCACAAUAGACCAUAGAAAGUAGGAGAGUUAACCCGAAUAGGUUAAAAUGCAUCUAGUUCCCUCGAGAUCAGUACUUUCAUCAACAACUCUUCACUCUCGACUAAACCCACAAUAGCCCGUAGAAAGUAGGAGAGUUAAAUCGGUUAGGUCAGAAUGCGUCGGGUUCCUUUAGGAUCAGAACUUGCUUAGAGAACUCUUCACUCUUGGUCGAAGCCACAAUAGCCCGUAGAAAGUAGGGGAGUUAAGACGGUUGGGUCAGAAUGCAUCGGGUUCCUUCAGAAUAAGAACUUGCAUAUAGAACUCUUAACUCUUGGUCGAGGCAACAAUAGGUCGUUGGAAGUAGAAGAGUUAAGCUAGUUCGGUCAAAAUGCAUUCGGUUCUUUCGAUAUUAGAACUUGCGUAGGAAAAUCUUCACUCAUGGUCGAAGCAACAAUAGCCCAUAAAAAGUAGAAGAGUUAAGCAUAUUAGGUCAGAAUGCGUCUGGUUCCUUUGUGAUCAGAACUUGUUGGUGAACUCUUCACUCUCGACCAAGAAACAAUAGCCUGUAGAAUGUAGGAGAAUUAAGUCGGAUAGCUCAGAGUGCGUAGGGUUCCGUCUGGAUCAAAACUUUCAUAAUGAAAUCUUCACUUAUGGUCGAAGCAACAAUAACAUGUAGAAAGUAGGAGAGUUAAGCCGAUUAGGUUAGAAUGCGUCGAGUUGCUUUGGGAUUAGAACUUGUGUGAGGAACUCUUCACUCUCGGCCGAAGCCACAAUAACCCGUAGAAAGUAAAAGAGUUAAGCUGGUUUGAUUAAAAUGAAUCGGGUUCUUUUAGAAUCAGAACUUGUUCGUGAACUCUUCACUCUCGGCUGAACCUACAGUAGCCCGUAAAAUGUAGGAGAGUUAAGCCGAAAAGCUCAAAGUGUGUCAGGUUCCUUCCGAAUCAGAACUUUUAUCGGGAACUCUUCACUCUCGGCUAAAGCCACAAUGCCCCAUAGAAAGUACGAGAGUUAAGUCGGUUAGGCAAAAAUGCAUCGGGUUCCUUCGUGAUCAAAACUAGCGUAGAGAACUUUUCACUCUUUGGUCGAAGCCAUAAUAACCCGUAGCAUGUAGGAGAGUUAAGCUGGUUAGUUCAGAAUGUGUUGGGUUCCUUCGAGAUCAGAACUUGUGUGGAGAACUCUUCAAUCUUUGUCGAAGCCAUAAUAACCCAUAGAAAGUAGGAGAGUUAAAUCGAUUAGGUCAGAGUGCAUCGGGUUCCUUCGAGACAUGAACGUGCAUUAGGUACUCUUCACUCUUGGAUGAAGCAAUAACAGCCCAUAGAAAGUUAGAGAGAUAAGUCGAUUAGGUCGCAAUGCAUCGGGUUCCUACGGGAUCAAAACUUGCGUAGGGAACUUUUCACUUUUGGUUGUAGUAACUAUAGCCGGGUAGAAAGUAGGAGAGUUAAGCGGGUUAGGUCAAAAUCCAUCGGGUUCCUUUGAGUUCAGAACUUGCGUAAAUAACUUUUCACUUCGCCGAAGCCACAAUAGGCCGUAGAAAGUAGGAAAGUCAAGCCGGUUAGGUCAGAAUGCAUCGGGUUCCUAAAUUGCAUAAGGAACUCUUCACUCUUGGUUGAAGCAACAAUAGCCUGUAGAAAAGUUGGAUAGUUAAGCUAGUUAGGUCAGAAUACGUCAGGUUCCUUCAGAAUCAAAGCUUGCGUAGAGAACUCUUCACUCUUGGCUGAAGCAACAAUAACCGGUAGAAAGUAGAGAGAGUUAAGCUGGUUUAGGUUGGAAUGUAUCAAGUUCUUUACGUAUCAGAAUUCACAUAGGGAACUUUUUACUCUUGGCCAAAGCAAUCAAUUUCUGUAGAAAGUAGGAGAGUUUAAAGUGGUUAGGUCAGAAUGCGUCGGGUUCCUUCGGGAUCGAUAGUUGUAUAGGUAAACUCUUCACUCUCUGGCCGAAGCAACAAUAGCUAGUUGAAAGUAGAAGAGUUAAGCCAAUUAGGUCAGAAUGCGUUGGGUUCCUUCGAUAUCAGAACUUGCGUAGGAAAAUAUUCACUCACGGCCGAAGCAACAAUAGCCUGUAGAAUGUAGGAGAGUUAAGCCGCAUUAGGUCAAAAUUCGUUGGGUUCUACGGUAUUCAACUUUUCCUUCCUUACACUUCUUUUUUUCUUGUUCAUUUUAUUGAUAUAAUUUUUACCACAACUCAUCAGAUAGGAAUUGAUAACCAUUUUCUUUUUUAGAACUGUUUUCUUUUUAUUUUAAAAAUUAAACAUAUAUACAAUGCUUGCACUUUUAAGAUUAGUGGCGAUUUAAGAAGAAUGAUGAUGGUUCAUUCGUGACUUUCAUUUGUGGUUCUAGGCCUCUAAUUUUUUUUUCAAUUACAAUACUAUGACGUCAAAUAACUGUCGCGAAAAGUAUUAUCCGAAAAGUUUCGCCUUUUCCCGCGCGUUUUUUUUCCUUUUGUGAUAAUUUUUUUUCCUCCCUCCAUUUUGUGAUAUAAACAACUGUCGUAGUAGAUAAUUUUUGUUGUAGUGUUACUACAUUUGGAACUUGACAAAAACCUGUUUGCUAGAUGAUCCCUUAUAUGACUCAAUUUCUUUUUCCUAGUGUUUUUAUUCACUUAUAAAGUCAUUUCAAACACAAUACUAUACAUUUGAUUUGUGAACUUUAGUCACUAUGGUUUCUUUACCUAUGCAUUGCCAAAUCAAGCACUAUACCAUAAAACUUCUAGGACUAACUUAUGAAUUGAUCAAUUAAAAUGACAUGAUUUGCACUAUAGACGCCUUUUGCACACCACUUAGGUUGGUUUAGCACUAUAGUUCUUGUCUUAUUUACCAUUUUUGGUCGUUAAUUCCUUCUUUGUUUUUCAAUUUUUGGUAGUUUAUGAGUUAAGAAAGCUCACACUUAAGCAUUGUUUGAUAGUCUUUACAGCCUAAGCACCUCUUGGACACUACAUAGGUUGGUUGGCACUAUAGUUGAUGCACUUGCACACUUGGUUUCCAUUUAAGGUCCUUAAGUCCUUUUUGGUCACUUUUUGGUAGGUUAUGUGUUGGAAAUUGAUAAGAAACCCCUAGGCAUUGGAUCUAAGAAUCAUGUUAAACAACAAGACUCAAAGAACACAACCCCACUAGCCGCAAAACCAAUUUGAUUUCAACCCCUAAGAUAGGCUACAUACAAAUUGCUUAGAUGAUCUAAGAAACCAAGGAUCGAACAAAAUUAGAAACUCCCAUCAAUCCUUAAUCUUCAAAACACUCCACAAGUAAGGUAGAUCAAUUCUCACUUGAAUGCUUCAAAUGUUUGUGCAUUCUAUCACAACAGACAAGAACAAAAUUCUACAUUCUAGAAUUUUCAGAUUUCUUUCAUCCCAAAUUCUUCUUUUUAAAUGUGGAAAAAUUACAACCCUAUUUAUACUAAUUAAAAUAUGAAAUGAAAGGUCAAAACAUUUAAUUUGAUAACCUUUCAACUAACAUAAUAACUAAAAACACAUAAACAUUAUUUCUUAAACAUUUAAAUUUAUGACUUUUGAGUUGCCCAAAAUAACUCUUCAACUUCCAAGCAUUGCAUCUACUCAACUUCUUCAUUUGAUUCAAUCAUGAUUUCUUGAUCCAUAUCAGGAAUGCUCACAGUUAAACAUUCUUGGUUUGUCUUUAAACCUUAGGCACCUUUUGGACACUACUUGGGUUGGUCUGGCACUAUAGUUGUUGCUUUUGUGCACUUAUUUUCAUUUUGGGUCGUUAAGUCCUUUUUUCUGACAUUUUGGUAGAUUUUGAGUUGAGAAAGCUCACACUUAAGCAUUCUUUGGUUGUGUUUAUAUAAUAGGCACGUUUUUUAAACUACUUAGGUUUGUUUGGCACUAUAAUUAUUGCACAUGCGCACUUGGUUGCCAUUUCGGGUCGUUAAGUUAUUUUUUCAGAUAUUUUGGUAGGAUAUGAGUCGACAAAGCUCACACUUACAAGUUCUUGGGUUGCAUUUACAGCUUAGGCACUUUUUGGACACUACUUAGGUAUGUUUCGCACUAUAGUUGUUUCACUUAGGCACUUGGUUGCCAAUUGGGGUCGUUAAGUCUUUUUUUUUUUACAUUUUUGUUUGUUAUGAGUCGAGAAAGCUCACACUUAAAUAUUAUUUGGUUGCGUUUAUAGCUUACGCAACUUUUGGAUACUACUUAGGUAUGUUUGACAUUUUAUUUGUUGCUCUUGGGCACAUGCUUGCCAUUUCGAGUCGUUAAAUCAUUUUUUCUGACUUAUCGGUAGGUUAUGAGUCGGGAAAGCUCACACUUAAGCAUUCUUUGGUUGUCUUUAAACCUUAGUCACCUUUUAGACACUAAUUAGGUUGUUUUAACAGCAUAUUUGUUUAACUUACGCACUUGGUUGAAAUUUUUGUUCAUCAAGUCCUUUUUUGUGAUUUUUUGGUAGCUUAUGAGUUAAGAAAGCUCACACUUAAGCAUUCAAUGGUUGCCUUUACAACUUAACACCGUUUGGAUAGUAGUUAGGUUGGUUUGACACUAUAGUUUUUGAAUUUGGGCACUUGGUUGCCAUUUCGGGUUGUUAAGUCAUUUUUUUCUCAUUUUUUCGUAGCUUAUGAGUUGGAAAAGCUCACAGUUAAGCAUUGUUUGGUUGAUUUUAAGCCUUAUGCACCUUUUGGACACUAGUUAGGUUAGUUUGGCACUAUAUUUGUUGCACUUGGGCACUUGGUUGCAAUUCGAGUCGUUAAGUCCUUUUUUCUAACAUUUUGGUAGGUUAUAAGUAGAGAAAGUUCACACUGAAGCAUUCUUUGAUUGCAUUUACAACGUAGGCACCUUUUGGACACUACCUAGGUUGGUUUGGCAUUAUAGCUGUUGCACUUGGACACUUGAUUUCCACUUCAGGUCGUUAAGUCCUUUUUCUCACAUUUUUUAAAGUUAUGAUUUGGAAAAUCUCACACUUAAGCAUUUUUUUUGCUGUCUUUAAACCUUAGGAACCUUUUGGACAUUAAUAAGGUUUCUUUGGCACCAUAGUUGUUGCACUUUGGCACUUGGUUGCAAUUUCGGGUUGUUAAGUCCUUUUUUCUAACUUUUGUUAGGUUAUGAGUCGGGAAAGCUAACACUUAAGCAUUCUUUUGUUUCCUUUACAGCUUACGCACCUUGGUUUGGCACUAUAGUUGUUGUACCUUGGCAUUUGGUUGUCAUUCCGGGUUGUUAAAUUCUUUUUUCUAACUUUUUAGUUGGUUAUGAGUCUAGAAAGCUCACAUUUAAGCAUUCUUUGGUUUUCUUUAAAGCUUAGGCACCUUUUGGACACUACUUAGGUUUAUUUGGCACUAUAGUAGUUGCAUUUGGGCACUUGGUUGCGAUUUUAGGUUGUUCAGACCUUUUUUUCUCACUUUUUGGUAGCUUAUGCAUUGGAAAAGCUCACAGUUAAGCAUCGUUUGGUUGUCUUUAAAUCUUAGGCACAUUUUGGACACUAGUUAGGUUUGUUUGGCACUAUAGUGUUGCAUCUGGACACUUGGAUGCAAUUUGUGUCGUUAAGUCCUUUUUUCUAAUAUUUGAGUAGGUUAUGAGUAGAGAAAGCUAACACUUAAACAUUCUUUGUGUUGGAAUUUAUGUCCUAAAACAGAACAAGAAUUCUAACCAACGAUAACAAAAAAAUCCACCUUAACCCUUGAUCCAUGCCGUCCAUUGGGAGGUACAGCACUGGACAUGAUUGAGAACUAUCGGUUCCCAGCCGCAAGUUUCGACAUCGACAAAGAUUUUCCAAGGGAAAUGAAAAUUUUGGAAAUGGGUAGUGAAGAAAAAUAAGGUUGAAAGGAUUUUGUUUGGAGAGUGGACAAAAUUAUGACCGAUGUGGAGAAAAGGGAACAUAUGGGGUUCGGUUUACAGGGAUUUUUCUUAAGGAUUGUUGGAAUAACAAAGAGAUUGUGAGGAGAUUUAAGGGCAACGACAAGAAUGGCAGAAUGUUAAAUCCCAAAAGACUAAAUGGCCAAUUGAAUGUUUAAGUAGAUUGAUUUGCCUGUUAGCUGUUUUCUUGCUUCUUUACGGAAAUGGGGUAGAAAGAGUAGAACGAUGACAUAGUUCACUUUGUUUUUCUCUUUACAAAGUAGCCAAUGACUUAAAAGAAAGACAUUGCACAACAAGACCAUUAGAAAAUAAUAUACGUAAGAAAGAAUACAACGUAAGCAGAAAAGAAAUGGAAGAAAAAUACCCCAAAACUUCAAAAUGCAAUAUGAUCAUAACAAAUUUGUAUCAUCAUGAACAGAUCGAACAAACUCCAAAACAGAUUUUGCAGUGGGCUUCCGACUCAAAUAAACAGCCUCCAUGCUUGCCAAAUUCCUAAAGGCAGCGCAAUUAAGCAGUAACCAUCAAUUCAAAACAACAGGAAAGACAGAAAGAGUUGCAAUGCGUUAGUUUACUGUUUCAGAUCGCUUUAGAAGGGGACCCUGCAACAAAUUCCGACCAGACCCAGAGGCCAGCUGCCGCUUGAUCUUCUCCAAACUGUCCCCGGCAUCUUCCGCUCUCUCCACCAACAACAAUCAUAAAUUAAAAACAUGUUGAGCCAACAAAGAUACACACCAGCAAACUUUUGAACAUAGGACCCUCCUAAACUACUCACUUUUGAACAUAGGACUUCCCCAACUAUCUACUCACUUCUGAACAUACAACCUUGAUAGAACACUUAUGUACUGUUUCUAUUAUAUUGAUAUUUGAGACUUAAAGUUGCAAUAGAAAGAAAAUUACAGAGAAAUUACAAACAACAAGCAAAGAAACCCUCCUAAUCCAAAACAGAAAUAAACACAAUUCAAAAUACUACAAUUAAAACCAGAACAAUUCUGGCAGGCCCUUCCUUUUACUAAAAACUGCCUGCCCUUUCCCAUCUCCCUCUCAUCCAUUUAACUUCCUGUUUUAGAUAACUAUCAUCCUUUUGAAUAAGUAACUGUGUUGAUUACUAACGUGCCUUACUUUCCUUUCUUCUAUUAUAAGUAAAAUAACAAUGGUGGUCUAACAGACCUCCUAAACUAUCCACUCUAGAGCAUGUUAAAUCACCAAUUCAUCCAAAAACUAAUGACGUAAAUGUAAUAUUAUAUCUUCAACGUAAAUGUAAAUGUAAACUAAUGACACUACAAGUGAUUUUGAAACUAAGACAUUGAAGCAGUAUGUUAGGAAGGGUGAUGGAACCAGCAAGAGUGGGGGGAGUUCUUUAAAACAAUCAGAGGUCAAGAGAAAGAAGGGAUCAGCUAAAUCUAUUUCUGGAAAAAACGUGAAAAGAUUGUCAGGUGAUGAUGAUAAAAAGGAAACCACACCUGUGCUGAAACCAGCCUCCAAAAAUUGGAAGUAAAUCAAAGGAUCAAGGCACUCUUGAAAUUGGAAGUAAACUUGGUAGCACAGGGAAUACGUGGGGUUCGGCUUACAGUGAUUUUUCUUAAUGAUUGUUGGAAGAACAAAGAGAUUGUGAGGAGAUUUAAGGGUAACGACACAAAUGCAGAAUGUUAAAUCCAAAAAGGCAAAAUGGCCAAUUGAAUAUUUAAGGAAGUUUGAUCUGCCUGCUAGCUGUUUUCUUGCUUCUUUAUGGAAAUGUGUAAGACCUCCAAUUAUUCAUACAUAUCAAAGGAGGGGCAGAAAAGUAAUUGGACAAAUUAAUAAUGAGGAAGGAAAAAGAGGAGGAGAUCGUGCAGGUGGGGCCCAGGCACAGAAAUAAGAGAAAGAUGAGAGAAGGAAUAUAAAUAGGUUUUUUAGGUCUAGGGGAGGUAGGUUUUAUUUUUAUCCUGAAGUUGGCGGCUGCUUAGCCUAGAGGAAUAUCCAGUCUUUCCCUAGAGGAAGCUGGGUUUGUCUUCAUUAUUCCUUGUUUUUCUUGAAUCUUUAUGUUUUUCUGUACUCAUUUUGGCUAUAUAUAAAUAAAGAUAGCAGAGAGCUACCUCUGUUUUUGGCCAUUGUAAGGGAGAAAUAGUGAAGUAAGCAAGUUGAAUCCUUACAUAUUGGUAUCAGAGCCUCCACACUGGGGGUGAUCACGCGUCUGAUGGCUCAAAGACAGAUAGAAGAACGGGUAGAAGGUACUGAAAAGGAAAUUAUGAGUCUGAAGGAGAUGAUGCUGGAAAUGAAGAAAUCGAUGGAUCGAAUGACAGACGAGCUAAGAGAAAACCAUGGUGCUAAGAAAAAAGAAGAAGCAGGGACUACAGACGACAUCAGGUUGAAACUGAAGGGAAAACUGGAAGAGGCCGGAACCACAGUCGAGUCGGGUGGAAGCAGCGCAGACCGAAGUACAAAAAAUUAGAAAUGCCACUGUUUACAGGGGUGAACCCUGAAUCCUGGGCGUACCGAGCAGAACAUUUUUUUGAUAUAAAUGACUUACCGGAAGCUGAGAAGGUCAAAGUAGCAGUCGUGAGUUUUGGACAGGAAGAGGUAGACUGGUUUAGAUGGAGUAAUCGUAGAAAGAGGGUGGAAUCUUGGGAGGACUUGAAGGAAAGGAUGUUUGAUUUCUUUAAUGAUACAGGACAGCAGAGCUUGGGGGCAAGAUUAAUCCGUAUUAAGCAAGAAGGCUCAUACAGCGAGUACGUUAAGAAGUUUGUUACAUACUCAGCCCCCCUCCCGGACAUGGCAGAAAGUGUUCUGCUGGAUGCGUUUUUAACGGGUCUGGAACCCUCACUGCAAGCGGAAGUAAUCAGCAGACACCCUCAAACUUUAGAGGAAUGUAUGAAGGAAGCUCAGCUGGUGAAUGAUAGGAAUAUAGCAUUAAAACUGGCGAUGGAAGAGUUGGAUAUAGUUGAGCCCAAAAGGAAUGAGAACAGCAGCAAAUUUCAAGGAAAAAAUGAGAAGACAGAAAGUAAAAAGACAGAGUUUGUGAUGAAGCAGGUAACUAUUCCAUUGAAAAAUGAUUACCAGAAAAAAGAUCCCCCAAUUAAACGGCUGUCGGAUACGGAAUUUAGAGCAAGGCUGGAUAAGGGGCUUUGUUUCAGAUGUAAUGAAAAGUACGCCCCAGGCCAUCGAUGUAAAGGGAGAGAAAAAAGAGAGUUGAUGCUCCUUAUACUAAAUGAGGAAGAAGACCACAAAAGGGAAGAGGAUACAGAGGAUGAGGCAAGCGAAGUAAUAGAACUGAAUCAUCUGGAAUUGAAUAUGGAUAACCCUAUUGAAUUGAGGUUGAUCACGGGAGUUACAUCAAAAGGGACGAUGAAAUUAAAAGGACAUGUGAACGGAAGGGAAGUAGUUAUUCUGAUUGACAGCGGGGCGACCAAUAACUUCAUCAGCCAAGUGUUGGUAGAUGAACUACAGCUGAGCAUCGAUCCGGGAACUCGUUUUGGAGUUACCAUUGGGAAUGGCAACCAAUGUGAAGGAAGUGGGAUUUGCAAGAGGGUGAAGGUGAAGUUAAAAGAGUUAACAAUCGUAGCAGAUUUCCUAGCGGUAGAGUUAGGAACGGUAGACUUGGUGCUUGGGAUGCAAUGGCUAGAUUCGACAGGAACCAUGAAGGUUCACUGGCCAUCCCUAACCAUGACGUUUUGGAGGAAGGGUAGAAGAAUAAUCCUAAAAGGUGACCCUUCUCUAACGAAGUCAGAAUGUUCAUUGAGAACCUUAGAGAAAACGUGGCAAUCCGGGGACCAAGGAUUCCUCUUGGAAUUCGAAAACUAUGAAGGAGAAUCGGAAACAGAAGCUGAAUUGAAGGGAAAGGAAGAAGGAUUACCCAUGGUUCAGCGAUUGCUCGAGCAAUAUGCAGAUGUCUUUAGGUUGCCCAGGGGUUUACCGCCAAGGAGAGCCAUAGACCAUCGCAUUCUGACCGUGGCCGAUCAGAAACCAAUUAAUGUAAGACCAUAUAAGUAUGGCCAUGUACAAAAGGAAGAGAUUGAAAAAUUGGUGUUAGAAAUGUUACAAGCUGGGGUGAUUCGUCCAAGCCGCAGCCCAUAUUCGAGCCCGGUCCUCUUAGUGAAGAAAAAAGAUGGAGGGUGGAGAUUUUGUGUAGAUUACAGGAAACUCAAUCAAGUAACGGUGGCUGAUAAAUUUCCAAUUCCCGUGACCGAAGAACUCUUAGAUGAACUUCAUGGUGCGACAGCUUUCUCAAAGUUAGACCUUAAAUCUGGAUACCACCAGAUUAGGAUGAGGGAGGAAGAUGUGGAGAAAACAGCUUUCCGCACGCAUGAAGGACAUUAUGAGUUCUUGGUGAUGCCUUUCGGCCUUACGAAUGCUCCUGCCACCUUCCAAUCUCUCAUGAACGAGGUGUUCAAACCAUUCCUUCGAAGGUGUGUCCUGGUUUUUUUUUAUGACAUUCUAGUUUAUAGUGUGGACAUAGAUGAGCACAUGAAACAUUUAGGAAUGGUUUUUGCUAUCUUGAGGGACCAUGAAUUGUUUGCAAAUAGGUCUAAAUGUGUCAUUGCUCAUUCCCAAGUUCAAUAUUUGGGUCAUCUGAUUUCCAGCAGAGGAGUGGAGGCUGAUGAGGACAAUUCGCAGUAUGGUAAAUUGGCCACGGCCGAAAGAUAUAACUGGGCUGAGGGGAUUCCUUGGACUGACUGGGUAUUAUAGAAGAUUUGUGAAAAGCUAUGGAGAAAUAGCUGCACCCUUAACCAAAUUACUUCAGAAAAAUGCAUUCCAUUGGAAUGAGGAAGCUACAAUAGCGUUUGACCAGCUGAAGCUAGCAAUGACAACCUUACCGGUAUUAGCAUUGCCGGAUUGGUCUCAGCCCUUCACAAUCGAAACUGAUGCUUCAGGAGUAGGUUUAGGUGCAGUUUUAUCACAGAAUGGUCAUCCCAUCGCAUUCUUCAGCCAGAAACUGUCCCCAAGAGCCCAGGGUAAGUCGAUCUAUGAAAGGGAAUUGAUGGCGGUUGUCCUUUCGGUGCAAAAAUGGAGACAUUAUCUCCUGGGCUGAAAGUUCACAAUUGUUUCAGAUCAGAAGGCUCUGAAAUUUCUGUUAGAACAGAGGGAAGUUCAGCCUCAAUUCCAAAAGUGGCUCACAAAACUUUUGGGGUAUGACUUUGAGAUCUUAUACCAGCCGGGUCUGCAGAAUAAGGUGGCGGAUGCUCUCUCAAGGAAGGACCAUUCGGUGAAGUUAAAUACAAUGACAACCACAGGCAUAGUUGAUAUAGAGAUAAUAGCGAAGGAAGUUGAAAUGGAUCAAGAACUUCAGAAAAUUAUUGCCGAACUUAAGGGAGAGGUGGAUCAAGGUGGGAAAUACCAGUGGAACAAUGGCAGGCUGCUAUAUAAAGGAAGGAUGGUGCUGCCGCGAAAUUCCUCCCUCAUUCCGAGUCUUCUACACACGUUCCAUGAUUCCAUAUUAGGAGGGCACUCGGGAUUCUGAUGGAUCUUACUGUUCCAACUCUUAAUAUAGAAGGAUGAAAUAUAUAUGAUAGUAUUAAGAUGAAAAUGGUAGAAAAUAAGUAGUACAGAAUGCUCUCAAUCGACGGCUCCCUCUCCUGCUAUUCUAUCUUUCAAGAAUAAAACAGUAAGACUCUUGACAACCAAAAACCUACUCAUCCUUUCCUUCUCUUCUUUAUUUAUAUUCGCUCCCUCACUUCCCUCAUCGUGGUCCCCUCUCAGCGAAUCGUGCGACGACGCUCCACUCACCUGUGGUCCCCACCUGCAGUUGGUUACAUAACCAACUUCCCCUCCUUCUUCUCUUUCCUAUUCCUUCUCCUACUAUAUUGGUGUAUGAUGGGUGGUCUAACAUUGCAUUCCCGGUCCAGUUUCACCUUGUCCUCAAGGUGGAAAUCGGGGAAGGAUUGCUGAAAGUUGUCAUAGCUUUCCCAUGUGGCUUCGUGAUGCGGCAGACCCUUCCAGCUUAUUAAAACCUCCCACCUGCCUGUUUCGUUUUGUCUAUAUCCGUUAGUUUCCUGUGGUACGGCUUUCCACUCGUGAUUUGCAGUCAAAAAUGGCAACAGUUCUUCGCUAUUCGCACUCUCCCCAACAGCCUUUUUUAAUUGUGACACAUGGAACACGGGGUGGAUUGUUGCGGCCGCUGGUAGUUCCAGCUGAUAUGCCACCUGACCGAUUCGCUUCACUAUCUUAUAAGGCCCGAAAUACUUUGGUGAUAGCUUUUCAUUCCUCUUUCUCCGCAAGGAUACCUGUCUGUAUGGCCUAAUUUUUAGGAACACUUGAUCUCCUUCUUUGAAUUCGACAUGUCUUCUUUUUAUGUCGGCGUAGCGUUUCAUUUUGUCCUGAGCAAUGCGUAGGUGUUCCUUCAAAGCCCCCAAUGCUACAUCUCUUUCCUUCAGUUGCUCAUCCAAGGAUGAGUUGGAAGUUUCCCGUUCUCCAUAAUACAGUAGGGCUGGUGGGGUUCUCCCGUACACCGCUUGGAAUGGUGACACGCCCAACGAUCUUUGGAAUGUGGUGUUAUACCAAUAUUCAGCCCAGUGUAACCAUUUCAUCCAAUCCUUUGGUUUUUCCCCGCAGAAGCAUCUUAGGUAGAUUUCAACCGACCUGUUGACCACCUCGGUCUGUCCGUCUGUCUGGGGGUGGUAGGCCGUGCUUCGGUUUAACUUGGUACCAGCUAGACGAAAGAGUUCUUUCCAAAAGUGACUCAGAAAGAUCUUGUCCCUAUCAGAUACGAUUGACUGCGGAAAUCCGUGUAAUCUUACUACUUCUUUAACGAAUACUUCAGCUACCAUUUUGGCGUCAAAGGGAUGUUUAAGACUGAGGAAAUGCGCAUAUUUGCUGAAGCGAUCCACCACUACGAAUAUGACAUCAAACCCCAUUGAUUUAGGCAAUCCUUCGAUAAAAUCCAUGGUUAUAUCCUCCCAUACUCUCUUUGGGACCUCGAGGGGAGUCAAUAAUCCUGCUGGAGAUAGAGCUAAGGUUUUAUUCCGCUGGCACGUCAUGCAUUCCUCGCAAUAUUUGCGCACUUCUGCCUUCAUUCCUACCCAAAACAGCUCUCCUGUUAGUCGUUUAUAGGUCCUUAAGAAUCCUGAAUGACCCCCGAUGACUGAAUCAUGAUAGGUAUGCAGAAUGGCUGGUCUCAAUGAGGAAUUCUUUGCAAUUACUAACCUCCCCUUGUAUCUCAAUAGGCCGUGUUGCAGCGUGUAGUUCUUUACCUCUUCCUCCUUCUGAAUUCUGUCGAUGAUAUUCUUCAGAUAUUCAUCUUUGUCAACUUCCUCUCUGAUUACCUUGAUAUCUACCAAAGUGUGAGCGGUUAGUUGGUUAAGAUGGACAGUUGGAGGUAUUCGCGAGAGGCCAUCUGCUGCCUUGUUUUCCAAUCCUGGUUUGUACAUUACCUCGAACGAGUACCCCAGCAGUUUUGCAAUCCACUUCUGAUGUUGUGGUUGGAUAACUCUCUGUUCCAGUAGGAAUUUUAGUGAUCUUUGAUCUGUUUUAACUAUGAAUGUCCUCCCAAGUAGAUAGGGUCGCCAGCGUUGAACUGCCAUUACCACUGCCAUUAAUUCCCUCUCAUAUACUGGUUUGGCUCGGUCGCGCGCUGCUAGUGUGUGGCUAUAAAACGCUAUAGGUCUUUUAUUCUGCAUUAGUACCGCCCCAAUUCCAUAGCCGGAUGCAUCUGUCUCUACUUCGAAGGGUGUAUUAAAAUCGGGGAGAGCUAAUAUGGGUAGAGUCAUCAUUGCUUGUUUAAGCUUUUCAAACGCCUCAUGUGCUUCUUCACUCCAUUUAAAUGCGCCGAGCUUGAGCAGCUGCGUCAGGGGUGCCGCUAUGGAUCCAUAAUGCUGUACAAAACGACGAUAAUAUCCAGUCAGCCCUAAGAAUCCUCUGAUCUCACGAACGUUUGUUGGUACUGGCCAUUGCUUGACGGCUUUAAUUUUUUCAGGGUCCACUUCUACUCCUCUUCCCGAUAAUACAUGUCCCAAAUAUUCUACCUUUGAACCCGCAAAGCAGCAUUUCUUUCGGUUGGCAAACAAAUUAUGCUCCCUUAAUACUUCCAGCACUAGUUCCAUGUGGUGACAGUGUUCCUCUAAAUUCCUGCUAUAAACUAGUAUGUCGUCAAAGAAAACUAAGACAAAUUUCCUCAGAUAGACCCUAAAAAUAGAAUUCAUCAGUGAUUGGAAGGUUGCGGGUGCGUUUGUGAGCCCAAAUGGCAUCACUAAGAACUCGUAAUGACCCUCGUGAGUUCUAAAGGCAGUUUUCUCUAUGUCUCGACUACACAUCCUCAGUUGGUGAUAACCGGCUUUCAGGUCUAUUCUGGAAAAUAGGCUGGCACCAUUCAAUUCAUCAAACAGUUCUUCAACAACGGGGAUAGGAAACUUAUCUGGGAUGGUUAUGUUAUUGAGCGCUCGAUAAUCCACGCAGAAUCGCCAGCUCCCAUCUUUUUUCUUGACCAAGAGCACAGGACUAGAGUAGGGACUUGUGCUCGGCCGUAUAAUUCCUGACGCCAUCAUUUCAUCCACCAGUUUUUCCAGUUCUUCCUUCUGUUGGAAUGCGUACCGAUAAGGUCGGACAUUCACCAGGUCUGCUCCUCCCCUUAUGUGUAUAUGGUGUUCAAUAUCCCUGCUGGGAGGCAGUCCCUUAGGCUCCUCGAAGACAUCCUUAUACUGCGUUAGAACCGCCUUGAUGCCCUCAGGUUCACUUUCGUUCUCUUCAGUUUUUAUCUCAGUUUGGCAUGCCUCCAAUGUUCUGCACUCAAUCAGAUACCCCGUGUCCGUUUCCACCCAUGAUUUAGUGAGGUUCUUUAGACUCACUUGAGUUUUUGUUAAACUCGGAUCUCCUUUUAGCACCACCUUUUUACUGUUAUGAAAAAAAGACAUGGUUAGGUUCCUCCAAUCCAUUUCUGUCACUCCCAAGGAGUGUAACCAUUGCAUUCCCAAGAUCAAAUCUACUCCUCCGAGUUCAAGUGGUAGGAAAUUUUCUACUACUGUCCACCCACUGAGAUUCAACUCCACUUUUUCAAACACUCCCUUGCCUUUGAUGGCUGUUCCGGACCCCAGUAUUACUCCAUAGUUGGCAGUGUCUUUUGUGGUUAUCUUCAAUGUCUUGACUAGCCGAUCAGAGAUGAAGUUGUGGGUUGCUCCACAGUCGACCAGCACGACAACUUCCUUGCUUUGGAUUGUGCCUCUUAUCUUCAUGGUUCCCGGAUUUGUCAAUCCCACUACUGAGUUAAUACAUAACUCGACUACUUCUCCCGGGUCGUGCUGCAACUCCAUGGCCUUCAAGUCUUCUAAAUCGUAUUCAUCUUCCUCAAUGAUUUCUUCUUCUACAUCGUCAGCCCUGACCACAAACAUUCGUAACUCGCGAAUCUCCCUUGCCUUGCACUUGUGCCCGGAGUAAUACUUCUCAUCACACUUAAAACAGAGUCCCUUCUCUCUCUUGGCCUGGAAUUCCGCGUCCGAUAGUCGUCUAGAGGGUCCUUCUUUCCUAACCUCCUUCGCCGGCGAAGCUCUCAGGGUAAUCGUUCUGAUUGGGAAGACUGCGUUCUCUUUAUUCCCUUGUUCCUUUACCCCAACGUAUGUUUUGGUUGUAGGAUAGCUGCUACUCGAGAAUUUCGUUCCAGAAUAUCCUGGUAAGUUUGCUUCCCUCCUCAGGAUCUCCCGUUGUUCUACCAUUUGUGCGUAUCUCAUCAUCUCGGCUAAUCCCACGGGAUUGCAGAAUUCCGUUUCUACCUUAAUCCACGGUAACAACCCUCCCAUGAAUGUUUCUUCCACGAUCUUUUCCGGGAUAUCCGAUAAUGGGGCCACCCAUUUAUCGAAGAGAUUCCUAUACUCCUCUACGCUUGACUUCUGCUGGAUACGCAAGAACCGGCCAUACAAAGAACCUUCGCGGGAUGAUCGGAAUCGGAUCAAUAAUCGCUCCUUUAAGUUUAACCAGCAGGUGAACUUGUCUCUCUCCUCCUGUGAUCGAUACCAGUUGAGUGCGGGUCCUUCAAAGCUGAUAGUGGCGACCGUCAGUUUUUCAGAAUCCGUUAGUUUGUGUAUUUGAAAGUACCUCUCUGCGCGGAACAGCCACGAGUCGGGGUCAUCUCCAUCGAAUACCGGUAUUUCUACUUUUUUGAAUUUGUUUUGAUCAUUGCCAUCCUCUUCGCCGUCUUCCUUCUUUUCUGCCGUCCCUUUUUUUGUUUCUCUAUUUGCCGAACUUUCUCCCUCCACCGUUUUUCCCGUCCAUGUUUCUUGUACUAACGAGUCGAUACCCUUUCCGCUUGCUAAUACCCGUUCCUUGGCCAUUGUUUCCAUGAAGAUCAUCACCAUCUGGUGAGUUUUCUCCACUUGAGCCUGCAAGUUUUCCAUGUUCUGUGACAUUACGGUAAGUUUCUCUUCCAUCGCCGGGAUUUUGUUGAGUUCUUGUUCGUGCGUGUCUCUUCUCUCUUCGCUUCUGGUUUGAACCAUGGUUUCCCUUUCUUUUUGGAUCGAUGGGUGCUCUGAUACCAAAUUGAUGGAUCUUAACUGUUCCAACUCUUAAUAUAGAAGGAUGAAAUAUAUGCGAUAGUAUUAAGAUGAAAAUGGCAGAAAAUAAGUAGUACAGAAUGCUCUCACUCGACGGCUCCCUCUCCUGUUAUCCUAUCUUUCAAGAAUAAAACAGUAGGACUCUUGACAAUGAAAAACCUGCUCUUCCUUUCCUUCUCUUCUUUAUUUAUAUUCGCUCCCUCACUUCCCUCAUCGUGGUCCCCUCUCAGCGAAUCGUGCGACGACGCUCCACUCACCUGUGGUCCCCACCUGCAGUUGGUUACAUAACCAACUUCCCCUCCUUCUUCUCUUUCCUAUUCCUUCUCCUACUAUAUUGGUGUAUGAUGGGUGGUCUAACAGGAUAUUGGCUGGGAUUAUGUGGCUUCUGUUGGAUCUUCUGGGGGAAUUCUUACCAUGUGGGACAACAGUAAAAUAUCUGUAACAGAGGUCAUUAAAAGACGCUUCUCUUUGUCAAUCAAAUGCCUCAGUUUGUGCAAAAAGGUUUGUUGGAUCACAAAUGUCUAUGGCCCUUGUGGUUUCAGAGAAAGGAAAUUGGUUUGGCCCGAAUUGUCUUCCUUAGCUGAUUGUUCGGCCGUGGCCUGGUGCAUAGGUGGGGAUUUUAAUAUCACUCGUUGGGCCCGGGAAAGAUUUACUUUUGGCAGAAGUACUAGAGGAAUGUCAUUAUUCAAUAAGUUUAUUGACAUGGUUUCUCUCAUGGAAAUUCCAUUGUAAAAUGGAAGGUUCACUUGGUCUAGAGACGGUAGUUCUCCUUGAAGAUCAUUAUUAGACAGAUUCUUCAUAAAUCAGAUGUGGGAUGUUUGUUUUGAAAAUUCUCGGGUUUCUCGAAAAGCACGCAUCUUCUCGGAUCACUUUCCUUUAUUCUUGGAGGCUGGUUCUUUUCUUUGGGGUCCCUCUCCUUUUCGGUUUUGUAACAGCUGGUUGGUGUCCAGUGAUUCUAAUCAGAUUAUUGUUGAAACAGUGAGCAACUCUAACUUCCAGGGAUGGGCUGGUUUCAUUCUUCAUGAGCAGUUGAGAUCAGUUAAAUUGGCAGUAAAAGCUUGGAAUAUUGGUGCGCAAGCUAAGGUAAAAGAAAAAAAACAGAGAAAUCCUUGAUGUCAAAAUUAGAAAAAUAUGAUUCUGCGGCUGAGUUGAUUGGAUUAAAUCAAGAAGAGUUGAAUUCUAGAGCUGCUUUGCAAGCGGAAUUACUUAGUAUUUAUCAAAAUGAAGAGCGUAAUUUUAUUCAGAAGAGUAAACUCAAUUGGCUUUCUUUGGGUGAUGAGAAUACGGGCUUCUUCCACCGCUUUCUAAAUGCGAAAAAAAGAAGGAACCUCAUAACUGAAUUAAAAAAUGAUGAUGGGGUUGUCUCGACUUCAUUCCGCGACAUUGAAAGGCUUGUGCUGGAAUUUUUUGAGUCACUUUAUACCAGAAUUCCGGGGGACAGAUUCUCCCUAUUAACAGUAAUUGGUCUUGUGUUUCUUCAAUUCAGAAUGAGGCUCUUGUUACCCAAUUUUCAGUGGAGGAGAUCUUUAAGGCAUUAAAGGCACUUGGCAACAAUAAAGCUCCGGGCCCGGAUGGCUUCACAGUGAAGUUCUUAAUCACCCAAUGGUCUAUUUUCAAGGAUAUCUUCAAAUCACUAAUGAAUGUCUAAAACAAGAGAAUGUGACUCUAGUCAAGGAUUGUGACUAAUGAAUGUCUAAAACAAGUUCUUAAUCACCCAAUAUUUGCAUUCCAAGAAAAUUUUAUUUAUUUAGUGCAGAAAAAAGAGAAUGUGACUCUAGUCAAGGAUUUCCGUCCAAUCAGCCUUACUACGUUAGCAUACAAGGUCGUUGCAAAGGUUUUAUCUGAACGUCUAAAACAAGUUAUGAAUGCAAUUAUAAGCCCCACUCAAAGCGCCUUUAUUGAAGGUAGGCAAAUUCUUGACCCAAUAUUAAUUGCUAACGAGGCCGUGGAAGAUUAUAGGGCAAAACAGAAAAAAGGAUGGAUUUUAAAACUUGACUUGGAAAAAGCCUUCGAUAGGGUGAAUUGGAACUUUUUAGAAAAAAAUUUAUCUUUGAAAAAGUUUAGUUCAAAAUGGAUAUCAUGGAUAAUGGGCUGCCUAAAAAUUCCAAAGUAUUCAGUCUUCAUCAAUGGUAAGCCUAGAGGCCGGAUAACAGCAUCUAGAGGUAUCUGCCAAGGGGACCCCCUCUCCCCCUUUUUAUUCCUCCUAGUAAGUGAGGUUUUAGGAGAAAUCAUAAACAAGCUUCAUAUUAACAGCCAGUUUGAAGGUUUCCUUGUUGGCAAAGACUUGAUCCACCUCCCUUUGCUUCAAUUUGUCGAUGAUACUCUUCUCUUUUUAUUCCAGCUUCCGAUUAUAUAUUUAGGUCUCCCUUUGGGAGGCUACCCUCGACAAAAGUCUUUUUGGCAACCAGUCAUUGAUCGAAUUCACAAGAAACUUGAAAGGUGGAAAAGAUAUAACAUCUCUAGAGGCGGAAGACAAACCUUAUGCAACUCAGUUCUGGUUAGCCUUCCUACAUACUACCUACUUUAUUUUCUGUACCUGAAAAUGUGGCUGCCUCUUUGUUAAAGUGAGUUUUCGGAGUGAAGGAAAAGGUCUGCAAUACUCCUUGAAAGACAGGGGAAGCAGAAGAUUGGUGUUCUAUAUUCUGGUUUGCUUAUUAGUAUUUUGUUGUUCGGAAUUUUGGAUUAGGAGGUUUUCUUUGUUUGAUGUUUGUGAAUUAUAUGUAACGUGACUCAUUUUCUAAGGUUCACGGUUUGCUUAUGUUGUAAGUUGUGUUUGAAUUGUCAAUAUAAUAGAAACACUACAUCAGUGUUCUAUCAUGAUGUCAUCCUUGGAAUGCAAUGGCUGCACACGUUGGGGUAACUGAAGUGGAUUGGCGGAAACUCACUUUAACUUUCAUACAAAAUGAAAAGAAUGUUGUUAUAAGGGGUGACCCGAGUUUGACAAAGACUAGAGUGAGUCUGUAACACAUGAUGGAGACAUGGACACCAUCUGAUUACGGUUUCUUGACAAAAUGUCGAGCUAUGGAGGGAGGAAUGACAUUUACCGAACUAUAUGGAAUUGAUGAUGUUCCUACAUUUCAAGAGUUACUACCAGCAGACAAUUUUGGCUAUCCUAAAAAUCUAGCAACAAAGAAGUGGGAAGUGCUUGUUAGUUGGAAAGGAAUACCACCUCAUGAGGCUACAUGGGAGAAUUGUGAUGAUUUUACACAAAAGCUUCCUCAUUUCCCACCUUGAGAACAAGGUGUCUUUGGAGAGGGAGAGUAAUGAUAGACCACCAAUUGCAAUACAAUAUAGCAGAAGAAAGACAAGUGGAAUUGCACGUGCACAGGUGAUGGAAUUGGAGGAAGUGGAAACCACCUUAGUGGGGACAACAGUUAGUUACAGGGGGAGGUUAAAAGGGAGAGAUGGAAGGAAAGAUGGGGGUUGGUUAAUCAGUUUCUGGAAGUGGAGGGGCUGUAUUUUCUGGAGAGCAGAAUUACAGAAGUUGUUCAGUUACUUUAAUCUUAGAAAGUGUUUUCCAUUAUCGUAAACUACUUUUGAUGUUUGAAUGUUUUAUUUUGUACUUGGUUAUUGUCUGUAAUAGUACUUAUUUGUUCUGUGUUUUCAAGACUGGUUUGAGUAUUGUAUUCUGUAAUAGUUUGGUUGCUUAAUGAACAAAUAAGAACCAUUACUUGGUGUUCUAUCAGCUUCUCAAUCAAGCAUUCACAUCUCAAUAAGGUAUCAUACAUGCAAUCAAACAAUCACAACAUACAUACCAUUUACUCAAAACGACCUAAAACAUGCUCAAAACGUGUCUAAGUUUCACUUGAACUUUCAAAACGACCUAAAACAGCUUACGUGUAGGUUCGUAACUCAUAACCUACGAAAAAAGUUCAAACAUUGUGAAAAAAGCACUACAAGACCCAAAAUGGCAACCAAGUGUGUAAGUGCAACAAACUUAAUUCAAACCAACCUAAAACGUGCUCAAAACGUGUCUAGGUAUUACUUGAGUUUUCAAAACGACCUAGCAAAUCCUAAGUGUAAGUUCGUAACUCAUAAUCUACCAAAAAGGUUGAAAAAAGCAUUUCAAGACCAAAAAUGACAACCAAGUGCAACAAACUCAAUCUAACCUAAAAUGUAUUCAAAACAUGUGUAAGUAUCACUUGAAUUUUCAAAACGACCAAGCAAUGCUUAAGUGUAAGUUUGUAACUCACAACCUACCAAAAUUUCAAAAAGUAUGAAAAAAGUACUUCAAUGUAAAACUUAGUUUCAAACCAACCUAAAACGAGUUCAAAACGUGUCUAAGUUUCACUUGAACUUUCAAAACGACCUAACAAAUAUUCAAUACAAGUUCAUAAGUCAUAACCUAGCAAAAAGUUCAAAAUUUUUUAAAAAGACACUCCAAAACCCAAAAUGUCAAGUGUGUAAGUGCAACGAACUUAGUUCUAUACAAACCUAACAAGUAUUGGAAACACGUAUAAGUUUUCAAACACCCUAACAACGCUUAAGUGUAAGUUUAUAACUCAUAACUUACCAAAAAUUUCAAAAAGUGUGAAAAAAAAUCUUUCAAGACUCAAAAUGGCAACCAUGGCUGUAUGUAAAACUAACUUAGUUUGUAACAACCUAAAAGGUGUUCAACAAAUGUUUAAGUAUCACUCGAACCUUAAAAACGACCUAAUAAUGCUUUAGUGUUACUUCAUAACUCAUAACCUACCAAAAAGUUCAAAAAAUGUAGAAAAAGCACUCCAAAAUCCAAAAUGGCAACCAAGUGUGUAAGUGCAACAAACUUAGUCUCAACUUUAAAAUUAGUGCGAGUUGGGAAAUGUAUUAACUCAAGCAUGAUGUAAAAACUUGAAACGACUUAAAUAUUUAUUCACCAUCACAUAAAAACAGUAAUUAAAUAUAGAUAACAUGUGUAAAUAAAGGGAGAAUCACCUUUCUAGCAGUAGCUUUAGAGUAAGACCAAACACCAUCCUCCUACUUGUAAAUCUGCUCGAUUGUCUACUUUGUUCUACACUCGUCAUUUC